GGGUUAGUUCCUUCUGUAGCGGUAAGGGUAAGUAGCAAAAGAAUUUCUAUUGAGUUGGUGUAGGAACAUAUAUUGAGUUAGACUAGGGAUAUACGGGAGUAGGAACCAUAUCAGUAGUGUUGCUAAGUAAAGGUUAGUUUACCCACCUGGCCCGGAGACAAAGUCAGCAAGCUUUAGAGUUCUGUUAGGUUCGACACUUCUCUCAGUUGCGCACUUUCUUUCUAAUUCCAUGAUGAAACCUACCUAUGCUCUUUGGAGAACCUACCCAUCUAUAAUGUUGACUCAUAUAAGAUAAUGUUUGAACAAACAACAAGGGAAAUAUUAUGUCAAUGAAAUGAAGCGGGAGCCUGCCUCAAGCAAGCAGGAGUUCAAACUCAUAAUGGUGCAAGAGCAAGCACAAGGGCGCCUGUAGAUACAACGAUAACACGGGGCCCACCUUCGCCUUAGUGCAUUAGUUUCGGUGAUUUUGAAGAAGGUUGGUUUUUACAAAUUCUCAUAUUUGGUGGUGUGUGCGCAUCUCAAUUCUCUUCUUUUGACUUUUCUCAGAAGUACAGUAGUAACUUGCCUAUUACAGUGUAGUAAAAGGUCUUGUCAGUUGCUUGCCUCUAAUCAGUAUUAGUUUAUUUCCGACUUUUGAGUUUCGUUCCGAUGUUGGUAUUGGUUAAAAAGCAUUGGUACCCAGACAGUAAUUCCUUAUUAGAAGAUAUUGGUUUGCUUACCGUACCGAGUUAUGAGUAGAAGGCUACUAGUUUCAAUACUGACUUUCAGCAAGGAGUGGUUUCUAGCUUAGUUUAUGCUUUAUUCUAAUUGGAGUUCUUAUCACUACUACUACAAGCUUACUACUUGCUGCUACUACUAUAGAGGGUCAGAGAUAUCAGUAUUAGAGCUACUCAUCAGUAUUGCUACUCCGGAAAGACAGAAGGAAAUGGAAGACCAGCGGUAGUUUUCGUUUGGAAACAAGGAAUAGAAGAGUGGGCAAGUAACUGCUAGAUUAGCAAGUAAGGGGAGACUUAGAUGCCCGGGUUCCAGUCUAUGGUAGCCACGUUCAGAAGAAUCCAAAUCAUCAGUUACAGGGAAUCGAAGAGGCAAAUAGGAGACUAUAAGCAAGGCGGUGCAGGCUCGGAAGUAUUAGUGUCAGGCUAGGCUCCCUUUCUUUUGGUGGAAGCUAAGAGAAAGUAAUGUCCUACUUCGAGUUGGGCCAGUAGCUCCUAGCAAUCAAACAUAGGAAAUUCAAGUUCCAAAUGGAGAAUGUAAAUAAGCAGUGCCAGGCCAAAAGUGAGGAGCGGAAAGUGCCAGUUUCCUGUUCAAGUACGAGAAGCAGUAGUGUGAGGUCAAGAGUGAGGGUAGUUAGCCUCGGGAUCAGUAGCUCAAUUCCUAUAGUAGUUAGUUCACUUCCUAAUUAGAGUCAAGCAAGGGCUUUCUAAGGGAAAGGUCAAGUCUAAAGGUAGGUAAAGAUUACAGGGCGUCCAAAGAAUUUCCACUUGUGAACAGUUCGUAUCGCAUUAACCGAUAAGUAGGACAGCCAAGAGAGUUGGUGUUCUGCUACCCUCAUUCUUUAGAGCGACAGUAAAGUAAACAAAUCAUUCAUUCGAGCUUACUUGAUAACUGAUCUUUCUUCUUAUCCUUCUAAUGCUUCCGUAUCUGUGUAAGAUGAAACUCGUACUGCUUCUUUAAACAAUGAAACUUGAGCAGAAGAAUAAGUUUGCAGCUCGCGCGCUAAGUGAAUCAGGGGAAUAAUCUCUUCGCGCGCUAAGUUAAUCAGUGUCAACAAGGUAUCUAGAAGCUGAAUGCGCGGGUAAGAUAAAUAGAGGUGUAGCUCUGUUAGCGAAACUUGACUUUAUUUACAAAACGGAAGACGAGAUAGUAGGGGAGCGCAUGAACAACAAGGCAAUCAAUAAGUCUGGACCAGUCAACUCGUAAACUUGACAAAAAGGCACACCCAUACCCUAAACUUACUGAGAGAAUGUAAAGACUCACUGUAGUACCCCUAAACUAUCCAGUCAUCAUUUCAAUUAAUCUCUGCUGCUGACUGACUUUAGACUUAUGCAUUCGAUUCAAUAGGAGAUUCGGCUUCCUUUCCUUACUAUUAAUCUACUGCCGGAUCUUAUUAUGCUCAAGUUUGUUCUCUCGCUGACAAUACUCGAACAGGACAUUCUCCACUGUAAACUAGAACAGUCCAUUCUGCUGCUGGCAAGUGCUACUUACGGAUAAGAAAGUGAGUUACAGAGUUAUAUUAGUAAUAAGAUAAAUAAGAGACAGGCUGGACUCUAUACUAGAAGAUACCGAUACCGACCGCGCUGAAGAAGGCAAUAAUCCAGGCGGCUGUAAACCCGUAUUUUGAGUCUACAGAUCGAUCUCUGUGAAACUCUGAUGAUGGCUAAUGUACUACAGGCGGAAGGGAAGUUUCGUUUGAAAGUAUGGUUUAGGGUGUUUCAGAAGAAUCCACAGUUACUGGCGAGGAAGCUAUAAGUAAAGAAGUGUGUUCGUCCACUUGUUUUCGUUCCUUCCCCCCUUCACUAAAAAGUAAGUAUCAUUACCCUACCUACAAAGGGAGAUUGCAUGUUGAUAACUGAGGAUGGCAAUCUGUUGAUGAAAUGGACUGCUGUAGUUCAUGCUUCUACCCAUAGAUGCUUUGGUACUCAAUCUCAUAAAAGUCAAAGCCAAGCCAUAUAUAAUAGAUAUGAAUACUAGAUUGAUAGAGAUGAAUACAGGAGUGAGAUAGUUAGAUAUUCAUACAAUUCUCAGGAGUAAGAUAGUUAGAUAUUCAUACAAUUCUAUAGUGAAUUGUAAAACGAGUACAGUCAUCCAUAAGCAUUGCAUUGUAGUGAAAACGUUUCUUAGAAGCAAGCGGGGCAGGGCAGGAAUUUUCCAUAAGGGUAUCAUCGUAUAUCAUCUUUCUUGAAAUAAGGGUAUCAUCGUAUAUCAUCUUUCUUAUCAUUAAGAGAAAAAGGCGACAACAGAGGCACGGCACUUCUUACAACUAGCACAAAGAGAGAGGGCUUGAUGAACCAUAGAAGGAUAUCCUCAUCCAUAUAAAGAGAUCUGUUUGUUUGUUAUAUAGAGAUCACAUUAACAUUUCUGUACUUUAUAAGUCUUUGAUUGAGGGUGACCAAGGGAAACUCCUUCAGGUGCCUUGCCGAACUUAAACUAGCGCUUGUUCACCUUUGUCUCGGGCAUAGAAAGCGUCCAUCCUACUCUACUCCCGGUUGCCGGAAUCCAUCCUUGUCCUCUGCUCUGAUCCUUUGAUCAAUAAAUUCUACGAUGAGUGCAAAGAAAGAUGGUCGAUUUUCAGUAAGUUGAAAAGAGAUGGGUAGGUGGUUAGUUAACAGUAAGGUGGUUUGUUAGUGUUUCUAAACGGUUGUUAUUGCAGGAACAAAGAAAACAUCCUGUAAUUCCACAUUUACUGAACUUGUAGUCAAAGAAGCAUCACCCAUAUAAUAAAUACGUAAACCAGUGUACCAUAUAAUAAAUACGUAAACCAGAGUACCAUCACAACCUCAAUUCUCUUUUUCUUAUAGUAUAGGGUAGCUGAUUCAUAAUUCUGUAGGGAGCGCGGAUUCAUAAUGCAGAAAUUACCUGCUUUACGGAUUCCGAAUUCAGAGAUUACCCGCUUUAGUGGUCAUAUGAGCAGACGCACCAGUAUCGGUAUACUAGUAUAGUAGGGAUCCUGCGAAUCAGAGAGAGAGACAUAGCAUAGCAUAGCCGUCAAUGCUUGAUGGAUAUCUUGGCUUAGGACUGAGAAAAGGGUGGUUCCAAGAAGGCAAGGCAGCACAGUAUGCCCAAAAAGACCACAGAUCUGACAUAGAGUGUCAGCGCAGAACCCUUGGUCCUGAGAUUAGGCAUAUUACGCAAUACUUUUGCUGUGGUGAAGGCUAUAAAGGCUUUCUUUUCUCCCUUUAUUUCAACUGCGCCCUUAUUGAUGCAGGUUUAUAUCUUUUAUGGAAUGAAGGCCUAGAUCUCUCUGUAAAACAUGCAACGGCGCGACGAUCUGAAUUAAGCAAUGAUAUAGAAUCUUCAGAAUAAUCUUAUCUCUUCAGGAUAAUCUUCUAGGGUGGGGAAUCUGAGAACUUGCGAUGGGAUGAGCGCUCGAGCCUUCUAUAACUCAAGGAGGCAUUAGGCUCGAUGUUACGUUAGUUUCAUAGGCCCAAAGAAUCUCUGGACUGGCUCCAAGAUAAGGGGAAAGAAUACAUUUGAUAGUUUCAUAGAAGGUGUAUCUUUCUUAGCUUAGGGGAAAGCACUUCAAUCCUGAUGUCGCUCGUUAUGUGAAUGGACCCAAUCCAUGAUGAGUUAUAAUUAAACCAGAUGGCCUAUCUUUUCCAGAUGGCCUAUAUCUUUUUCAUGCUUACUGGAAGUAGGAAUAACUGACAAGCUACGUCGCCAUAACACUAGAAGAGAGCAGAGCACUAUUGAAGAAAAGAAAGGGACAAAGGUCGACAGAAGGUAAACCCAAGACUCAAUCACUACCAAUCAGUUCCCGAACACAGGACUUGUAACUUAUAUUGCAACACAUUUGUAUUAUAGGGUACGAUCUAGCACAGUAUAAGACUAGUCAUACUUAGAGUGGAAAGCGAGGGCGCGUCGAUAGUACUUCACUUUCAAGGGCUAGGCACUACGGAAGGCCAUUAUCAAGGUGAAGGUGAUGGGGGCAGGCCUCUUUCUAGUCUUUUCAUCCAUAUGAAGUUGCUAACGCCUUUGGUGUGUUAUCGAGUUCCGCUUCUUUUGCCCUAGCAAUCAAUAUAGUAGAGGAGCAGUUGGGACAAUAAUCCCUUUUUGCUCACUUUCACCCCUGUUCCACUCCUAUGAUAGCUAAUUGGUAGGGCACAGACAAUCUGACUCUUACAAGCUUUGAAACAUAAGUAUUCGAAAGUGAAUGACAGGCUUUGAAACAUAAGUAUUCGAAAGUGGCCAAGCAACUAGACAAGUUACUACUAAUGACCAAGUAGAAAGUGUAGUUGAAAGUAUAGUGGAGGGUGCCAGUACUGUUCGUGUUGUUGGCAAAGGAUCUUAACCAGUGUGGUAUGCCAUGCCAGCAGAGUGAAAAGAGCCAGAGUUACAAGAGCCUCAUUCUGUUAAUAGUAGCCAUCAAGAGUUCAAUCAAUAGUUAUACAAGCCAUUACUCUUUCUAUUACUCUUUCUAUUACUAAAUGGGGAGUAGCGGUAGGGGAACUAUACAAAUACAAUUUCUAUUCUAUCUUAUGGUAGCGGUACCUAUUCUAUAUUUAUAUGAAUUCUAAAAGGAAGGAAGAUAUUAUGUCCCUGCCCCGGAACUGUCUCUUUGAACUCUCCUAUUGCUCUUAUACCUAUGAAAACUCUCACUAUUGCUCUCUUCUCUUCUUGCCCCAAAUCAUUCAUUUUCUCUAUUCUAUCUCUUUCGCCCCUUACUUCUAUUAAGGCUGCUUGUAUUCUUCUUCCCUUAAUCCGUGUAGUGGGCUUCUUUCUUCUUUAUACGAUGACACUCAUUCACUUUGCGUUGCGCUUGCUGCUUCCUUUAGACUCUUCUCUUCCUUGAAACCUAACUGCUUAGCUGACUCCUGACUAAACUAGCAAGGACGCACUCAAACCUGCCAGCAAACUCAAGCUUCCAAUCGGAGCAACCCCUGCCCUGCGCCUCUAUUCUGACUUUCAGUAUGCAGUGUUGUUCUCCUAUAUGUGAUUGAUGUGUCAUGCAACAUUCUUUCUUUAUUGAUUUCUUUCCACAGGCUCCGUUCUCCUAUAGGAGAUAGCAAUUUCAUCCGUUCUUCCUAUAAAAGAUAGCAAUUAGAUCUAUGUCUCGAAUCAAAGCCAAUAAGAUCUGAUUAUCCUCCGCUAUUCGCAUAAGAUUGAAGAUAAGUGGGAAUGUUUUGAACUGAGAACUUGGGUAUAAGGGGAGUUGAAAGAGCAGACAGGACUAGUUUAUUGCAAGCUAACCUUAGCAACGGGGCCAAGUAACUGCGUUAGUUCAAUAAGUAUCCUUCCCUACCGGAGUUACAGAGCAAGCGGGUAUCUCGGCUCGGGCUAAACUCCAUUCUUUAGUGAAAUACUGGCUAUCUAUCCGGAGUUGUGGAAUCCCUUGUUUCAUCCUAUUAAUAAGCUCAUCUCUCUCUGAAAGCUCAUCUCUCUCUGAUGGAAUCAAAGGCGAAAGAACAAGCAGUGUAUUGGUCUAUUGAAUAUAAAUAGUCGGGUAAUUAGAGAGAGUCAGAAUCCAUGAAGUAUAGGUUUACUGGCUCUACUGCUCUCCCACCUGGAAUAAUUCUUUCGAAGGGGGAUGGGAGUCAAUACUUAGCGCUUAAGGGAAUCAAAUCAGAAAGUACUGGUGAGGCGCGUUGGUGCCGAGAAACAGGCUUCAACCUGAGCUACUAAGGCUACAACCAGUGCAUCUAAGACUAUAACGGUGUCUACUAAGGCUGAAACCACAGCUACCUAGCCUUCAACGAGGCAGUAUGGGAAUUGAGCUAGUCAGUAUGAGAAUCAAGCACCUAACAACUAGCCUGAAACCAGUGCUUCUAGGGUAGUAGAUCAGAAUUCACUCCUGUAGUUACAGAAUCAAACUAGCUACUAUGAUGCUCUAGUACUAUUAGUAAGCCUACCCUCCCUUUUAACCAUUCUAAUACCUGCUCUUUGAAUUCCAAUGUUCGCCUCAAAGUAUGCCUUGUUUAGGUCAGUCUUCUAUCUGCCGUCGCUGUCCAAGCUGCGUAUCCCUUACCUUAUUGCCUUACUUUCAAACUCAUGUCAUUACUAACAGGACUUUCACUACUGUCUCUAGCCUUGCUUUACAAGACCUAAAUCCUAUAUGUUUACCUACGACGAGACUCAACAUUCUGUUUCUAAGCCUUUAUAUUAUUCUUUAGUGAACCUACUAGCCUGCCCCCUUGUCUACUAAUACUUUUCAUACCGAUCAGGAUCUCCGCCUUGCUUCAUAUGAGCCUUGGUUUCAUGCUUUAACUACCCACUUGAGUAUUAUUACUUGUUAGCUUGAGCCUACCUCGCAUCUUUACUUGUUUAUUUCAUUAAAUAAUUAGAUAUUCAGUUCACAUAUAUAAUAUGGAUUAUUAUUCUCUUCUAUUUGAUUAGCGUCUAAAAAGUACAAUUCAUUUUCUCUUUUUACGGGUGCUCCUAUACAAAGGGUAUGCCAUGCGAUAAAAACUAUUAGAUCAAACUCCGCAGUCAAAUAAGAAAAGUACAAAUAAGGAAUAUCCAACAGCCAGUAGCAAUAAGGAAUCCAGCAGCCAAAGCCAAUUAUUUGUAUCAACCGUAGAGUCUUCUUUCUUCUCUAGAGAGCCUUCCUCCCGCUACCAACCAAGCCUUCUUGCGUGUAUCGACUACUAAGUAUUCCAUGCCUGCCUGCCUAGCUUUUCGUAAAAUCGGAUUGAUAUAAGAAUCAGAAUGGAGCUAGUGCUUCUUUAACUCGCUACCGCGUCAAGCAGCCCAAUAGCUCCUGCCGCGCUUUAACUCACUGGUUGAAGCCUUACUAACACAAGUUUCAGUCUGACGAAAACAUAUAUUGUAAUAACGGGAACUCUAGCGGCAGCGCCAUACUCUAAGCUAGACUCCUGACUCGCAUUCUUAUUGUUAGUUAAAGAAUAAUCCAACUCGAACCAAGACUGCGCCUGCUGCUGAUGGGACUAAACCUCUGUAUGGCAAACAAGAAUCUCCCUACUGGUAAACAGGCUUACUGUCCUUACUUCCAUUCUAAAUACGCUGGAAUCUACUAAUGCUCCUUACUUAUGAAAUUCCAGUUUGUGAGUUAGGGCCUGCCACUAUGGAAUCUGAUCCUUACUUAAUAGGCUUUUAGACUCAAACACGUAACUUAGACUUUGACUACUGCUCCUACUCUAUAUACUUGUUCUUAUACCUUCUUCUUCUUAUUAUUCUGAUUCUUGGAAGCUUUCCUGGCACUACGGAUUAUCGAACUGCCGAUUCAGGGUACCCUUACUUUUCGUCAACACCUUGAGACUUUCCUGCCUUUCUUAGUAACCUCAUCAGCAAUAGAGAUGAGCAUUCAAAACUCCAUUCUUCAGGAGUGAUUUCUGAACUGCUUGCUUCAUUUCGAACUCUGUAAGCGCCGAGGACCAAGGUGCUGAAAGCCAAUCAGAUACUGUUAUUGAGAGCGCAGAAACAGAUGCAUACUAGAUCUAGAGGAUCGGAUUGCUGUCAAAGAUGCAUUUAUUACUGAUGUCCCAUAUCUACUAUAUCUAAUAGGAAUGUAAAAACCCUUUCCUAACUACGAAGACAGGAUGGACAGGAAUUGCACCACUUCUGUUAGCGCCCCGAGAGUAAGCUAAUGCACAAGGGCGAAACAAUAAGAGGAUUGGAAGUAUAUAAACCGGUAAGAUUCAAAAGAAAGAGAAGCUAGUCAGAUUCAAAAGAAAGCCAAGCCAGUAGGAUUUCCAAGAAAGGGAAGUAACGCCGGUAAGUUCGUUGAUGCUAAGCUCGUAGACAAGUAACUACUAAUGGACAAGCAGCGGCGUCGGAUUACUGCUGACCUACUUCUAAUAUUCUUUAACUAUACUUUGAGAAUGGACAAGCCAAUCACCUCUUUCGUAGACAAGGAAGGCAGGACAAUCUGUUGACAUGGAGUUCAGUGGAGUUAUGGGCUUUCCCUUGUAUUUCUUUUGCAUCCUUAAAACACUUGUAUUGCCUUUGCAUCCUUAACUUGUAUUGCUUCCUUUCGAACUACAAUCUACUAAAUGACACUAUAACUCCCAUCUACUUAAACACUAGCACCCAAAGACACUCAGAUUCAGUGCGCUGAAGAAAAGGUGUUCAGUGACUUUCUGACUUAUUUAUAGAAGUAUAAGGUGUGCAGUGAGAUUGAAUAAGAGUGACGGGCGACUUAUUAAUUCGAAAUGAAACAAGCAACAGCUUGAGCAAAGGGAGAAAGUCAAGUUGAGUAGCCUGUCAAAGGUAUAAACAAGAGAGUGUUGAGUAGCCUGUCAAAGGUAUAAACAAGAGAGUGGAGUAUGAAAGAAAAGGUAUAAACAAGAGAGUUGAGUAUGAAAGCAGUAAGGAGGGAGGUGACUUCUUUCUAGAUGUGUAACGCUCUCUUCAACAAGAGCAAGGGCGCCAGUGGAAACUACUAUAGAUGCAACUAAGUGUCGGCCUACUACUGCUCCCCUACUAUAUUGCUCGCGUAUCCAGUAAAGUAUCCGCGUGUUCCCCCUGGUAUAGGUAGUUCAAAGAUGCUUUUUCUCAUCGAACAGCGGAAAAUGCAAAUACCUUUCUUUACUCCCUGGGCACUUCCUUCGUCUGCUUUCUUCCGCCAGUACUCUUCUUGCUGCUAUUAUACUAUUCUCUUCUCUUUUCUUUUCGCCCGCCUAAACUCACCGACUUGGAUAUUCCUUUUACGUACGUGAAUUAGUCCCUUGCUUGGCUACUUUAUUACGCUAUGAUUCCCAAAGAGAAAGAAAUAGAGGUAAGCUGGUAGGCUAGGCAAAGUCAAAUGGUAUAGUAUAAAUAUGUCCUUAUCUCUCUAAACAGGGGGCAAAUAUCUUUGGUGGUUGAAUUAGCUCAAAAAGAAAGGAAAGGCCUUCUAAAUCAAAAAGCAAGAAGGUUUCAUACGAGGAGUUAGAAUACAAUAACCGGAGGUGUAGCUAAUGACAAUUCGUGUUGAGUCUAUUUUGGUAAUGCUUGAGAAAGAUUGUUCUUUACCUUACCCUUCCCACCGACCUGUUGUUUUCCUUCCCCGAAUAGAUAGACCUUUUUGUCUUAGUGCAGAUCGAAGAAGAUAUUGUUGGUUGAAGUCACCAAGCAACUACGUAAGUAGCGCGGUAGCGAGCGAAACUCCCUAGUCGAUUGGAAUCCCUAGACGAAAGAGCUAUAAAUAGAAAAAGGCUUACUUGUCUCAGAGGCCCAUACGCAGUCCAUAGGACAUAGAAAAGGGACAUUAGGAUCGAUAGGACAUAGAAAAGGGACAUUAGGAUCGCUGACUUCUAUCUAGACAUUAGGAUCGCUGCCUUCUAUCUAAUAGUAGAGGCCGCAUUUAGCUCAAAUUGGGACCCUUCUCAAGUCCAGAAGAGAAGAUCCAUUCUAUACCAGGAGCAUAGCUUUCUAUUUUUCUACCAUUGGCCCGGAAUACUACUUCUUUGUAUCAAUGGCCCCAGGAGUGCCCAUCCACAGUGUUUCAUAGGUGAAGAAAGAGGCUCUCGCUUCAUAGCUUCUUUCUAGAGCCAGAGCUACAUCUUAAACAACUGGCUUGGCUUCCAAAUAGGCUCGAGCACUAGGACAUAGGAUUUCCAGCUUGCUCAAAACAAAAUAACCCUGCUUGGAUCACCUCGAUUCUUGCUUUCCUGGAUCGUUAACCAAGGGGCAGUGGGGUCGGGUAUAAAUGGCAGCCUAUGAUAAGUCAAUUCUGCACUGCAAGAAAGUCAAAUCAAAAAGCAAAAGAAUCACCGGAAGUAGGAACUUGGUAUAGGUCUUACGCAUAAGUUCUAGUAUAGCACAAUAUAUAAUUAGGGGUCGCCCGAGCACCAAAGACUUUUGCAAAGAAAAGUAAACUAAACAUUCAGUUAUUAUUUAGGAAGAAAUAGAAAGUACAACUUCCCCGGAAAUCCCAAUGGAGGUCUAUCUCUACGAUUAGUAUAGUUUACGAGUUCCUAUCUCUCAUCCGUUAGAGAGAAGGAGAUUCAAAUCUAGGGCCAAGCAGACGCCAAGUCACUACUAGACAAACAACAACUAACGGCCAAGAUGAGAUAAAAAGAUCGAAUUGAGAUGAGAUUGAGAUAGCAAGAUUGGAUUUCGAGAAGAAGCCCUUUUCAAAUAGUGACAUCUAUCGCUUUAGCCCGCUAGAGUAGUUUGCUUUACAGACCAAGAUUGAGGAUAAGACUAUGAAGUUCGAUGAAACAAGUGUGUUUAAAAGCUAUCCGACAAGCUAUUGAUUGGUAAAGAUAUGAUUACAGUUUCUGAAUUUAUAAAGCAAAAGCCUAUUCCAAAAGGAUGGAACUAGAAUUAAUGAGUUAGGUCACGCUGGAGGCUAUCAUUAUUGAUGUAUUAGUGUACAACAGUGUACAGGAUUUCUCGGUAGUUCGGGUAUCUACUGCGAUCGAACAGCUUGAUUCUGCUGUACGAGUUCAAGCGGUUACUAUGUCAAGAAAGAAAGCAGCGGCUAGUUGUAAGGAAGAUGUAAGGUGCUCCGGAUGAACGAGAAAGGAAGGGCCGCCUCGUACUUUUGAGACUCCUCUCCUUUAGUCGCCCCUUCACUUCGACUUAGUUUCGGUGCUCGCCCUAACCUAUUAAAAGCUAGUGCUCAAGCCUAAACCUUACAACUAGUAUAGCACUCACUCCCUUUUGGGUGAAAUAAGAGUUCGCCGCUUUCUUCCUUUUUCUUUUGACCUUUCUUUUGAGUUGUCUUCGAUUCUAAGCUAAGCCCUAUGUUCCGAAUCGAUUUUGAUGAUUCACGUCUAAAUUAGUUCCCCAGAGUACAGACAAGGAUCAUGAUUACCUCUUGGCUCUUUGAUAAAGGUACAAGAGCCGCAGACGGAAGGCAAGGAAAUUUCACCUACAGAAGGAGGAAAGCACUUCGAAGUCAAACUCUUAGAUGGACAGAUGUCGACACUUGAGUCAAAGUCGGAAACCGACAGUACAAAAAGAACGAAUUAUUGUCAUGAUCGGAAACGAGAUACCACAAUGUGUCAGAAAGAAAGGGCCACGACAAUCAAUCUUUCUCUCAGACUACUCUUUCAAACAAAGUAAACUGCAACAACUAACAAAUCCCAAAGAUUGGAAAAGAAGAGACCCUCCCCCAAGGCUGUAACCUCUAAAGGGUCCGCCUAAUAAUCCAGCGAAACUCCCACUUCUAUAAAGAAAGUGGCCGCCUACGGGAAAGAUAGUAGUACGUACAAAAGGGAUGCGGCAUGACUGCUGUUUUAUUGACUUUCAUUUCUGCUGUUAGCAUGGUUUGAUGGCAUAGAAUCAAUAGUUUACACGCACAAAAACAAAUAGAAAGAAGUAAGGGAAUUUCAUAGGUGACUUCUUACUCGGAUUCAUGCCCAGACUCGGACGCAUAAUGAACUUAGGGGGUGCCUUAAUAUCUUAAUCUAAUAGAAAAGGGCUUCUUGCUGCCGUACUUGGAUUAUGCCUCCGGAAUCGCUAAGUCACACAUAUCUUCUCAAAUGGGAUGAAAGAACAAAGCAUUCAGUGGGCGUUAGGCUGUUGAUGGGGGCGCUGCUAGUGAAAGAAACGGACAAGGCCUCAAAGCUGUGAGCCCUCUAUCUUUUUCAGGAAGCAGAGAGAGCAAUCACACAUUUCUACCAGGCACGUAUCGAAGUAGAAGAGGAAGUUGGUCUUACCAAAACACAUUCGCCAUUGCUCUCGGCGGAAGCUUUAGCUGUUGUUGGGAUUGUGGAACUAUGUGAAGGGAGAAAUUAGUCAAAAGGUCCGAUCAAACAUCCCGUGCAAGCUAAUCGGCUUUUAUGAGCAGUCUGACUCACACUUUGGACAUUGAUUAAUGGGCUCGAGACAGCGAAAGCAUGAUAGCGGGAAUGCUGGUAGAGCAAUCGAAGCUAGGGUUUUCUUUUCGAAAAAGAAACGGAGUUAAAGGAAAGGGCGCUGUGAACACUCGGUUUGACUAAAGCGCGUCACGUCUUAGCUUCAAUUCACUCUUAUAUUCGUACGUUUUGAACAGUUCUUUUUCUUCUCAUUUAUAUUACAUUACGAGAUUUCUGCCUUAAGGGAAGAAGGUCAUACUAAUGCGACUAAGACGACUCCGUCCGCCUAUAACUAGAAAAGCUUGAAAUCUACUAUUUCCCAGUCCGUAAGCUGGUUCAAUUACACCUGAUAUGCCAACCGGACAACUUUGGGGGAAGCCUCAUUCUUGCGCACCCACUCUUAGAUGCGGUCCUCACCUGGAUCUUAUUACCUCCACUAGCAAUAGAACUUCACUUAUGCUCCUAACCAUACCCUCCCUAAGGAUCUGACUUAUUGAAGCGAGAUACAGGAACUGCCGAGCGGAGCAACUCGAGUUAGACGAGAGGCGGGGAUGUCAUUUCCAAGAGAGAAGAGGCUCGACCGGACCCAAGAACAAACCUAGACAAAGGAAAGAAGACAUGCCCCACUGUGAUACCUCGUGCAAGUUCUACGGAAUUACCUGAAAGAAGUCAUUAGCUUCUUGAUAUUGAGUGUGCCUUAGCUUACCUUGAGCAGGGCCUCUGCCUAUGUAUAACAACGUCCUUGUCGACGACACCCCCUUUUUGUCCAUUGGCGCGAGUCAACUAUACUUAAGUAGGGAAUUGCAUGCGAGACUUCCAGGGUUUUCUUUAUAUUUCAAGUGAAAGCUGGAUGAAAGGCAAAGGCUCAGAGGAUUUGAUGUCAAAAGAAUGCCCUACGAACGUGCUUUUCUUGAUCUACAGUGCCAGGGUUGCUUGGUAAGAUAGACCUACGAUCGAGGUUUCGUAGCCUCGUGCUCCAACUAGAAAAGCUAUCUGUCGGUCAGUCAAUCCAUUCAUUCAAUUAAGUCUUUGCGAGCGGGGCACGAGAUAAGACAUGAGAUAAUGUGUUAUGGUUAUUAAAGAUGAGGAAGACUUGGUUUAAAGCAAAUAUCGAUUCCAGGUUCACCUUGUUUUCGUGAGUUUUCCCAUCAUAAAGGAAUGGGGACAUUGCGAGAGACUCUCGAUUUGCUGCUAUACAUUUGGAGAAAGUGGAAUAAGAAAGGCCUUAUACCGUAACAACAAAGAGGCUGAUUUGAUAACGUUAGGAUAGGCGCACGGGGCUAGACCCAUCGCAGACCAAAAACGAAAGCCUUUACUAAGCCUAAGAAAAGCUUGUCAAAAGACCCCCGAAGAGCUGACCUGACCAAAGCUAGGGCAUUUAGGCUGUUGGUCGGUAGGUAAAGACCUGUUGGGGACUUUCCAAAAGCUCCUUUCGACCUCAGCUACACAACAAAGACCGAUACAAAAGAAGGGGACCUGACUGGGGGAAGAGGCUAGGAAUAUAGUCAAUGGAUGAAUUUCACCCUAUUGCUUACACCAGAGAGGCUAGUGAGAUCGAUAGAGAUAACGAGGCCAGGCGAAGAGACCCAUUCUGUCUUUCUUUAUUAAGAGAACGGGAAUACGGAAUGGACCCAUACGUAUUAAGAGAACGGGAAUACGGAAUGGACCCAUACCCAUACGCUCAUUUUGGACCGAAGCGAGAGAUUCCUCCUCUCUACUCUUCCGCUUAUUCGAUUAACUCGGCUAUUGCAGAAAGUGAACUUCCAUAAUACUGUAAAACACUUUUAGAGAAACUAGCAUCUUGCAUCUCAAUUCACUAGCACAGCCCUUCUUCCGCUUUGACCAAGCCUUGAGGAGACUACUGGCUAGGAGAGAAAUACUCUAAUGAAAGGAGGGGCGGAUGUGACUAUACAAAACUAGAUCCAUAAGAGGGCAGAGCCUCGGCUCACGUUUUCACUAAAAGAAUCAAGCGAGCCUUUUCCUCAUGGAUAGAUGCAUUUCCACCUAUUGCUUAUAAAGGACCAGACCCACCAAGAGAUCGGAUUAGAUGAAGGGGAGGAGAGAGUACUACUAUGUGAAAGAACGCUAAUCGCUUAAGGAAUAGAAUCUUAUAAAGAAACGGAAUCCACAGCAAUCGAUGAACUGAGCCCAAGCCCACCUGCAGCUAAUGAGAAAAGUCCUACCACUGACAGAAGUUUCAUAAGCAAGCAAAGAACCAAACCAAUCUCCUCUUGACCCGGCAAAGAAAGAAAGGAACGAACGGGAUUCACACCGGCAACUCCCAAAACCAGAUUAACUGGGGAGCCAGCAAGAAGGGCAGGAGCUUUUUCAACCGAGGCUGGGGGAGAUAUUUACACAGAUGUAUUUCAAUAAAUAGGAAUGAAGAAGCCCCUAAACAGAAUGACAGAGACGAAAGAAGUGGAAACUUUCACAUUAGAACAGCCCAACGGUAUAGACUACAUUGGAUUAAUUCAUUCUGAUAUCUUUGAAUCGGUCUCAAGUCUGAGGUCAUAGCAUCCUUGCUGGAAAUAGUUCCUCUCCUCAGGCCCUGGCCUAGUAGCUCGGGUCGGGCAUGCCCUUUUCUUCUUUCUCGUCCAUGAAGCCUGGGGUCCUUUAAACACUUCUCCCCCCACGUGCCCAAACCGAUCGCUAUCGUUUUCUUGCUUUCUUGUUGUCUUGAAUUUGGAUAGAACGGCUUUCCUUUUAUUGUGUAGUGUGUUAGAAAUUGACUUUGUUAAGUAAGUGCAGUUCGUGGUUUCUGGGUAUGCCCCACUCACGGUUAAGAAAGAAUCAGGUGAGUUUUUAGUUGAGCAAAGGGCUUUCUUCCUCUAAUAAAGAUAUAUUCUAAAUAGAGAAGAGAAAGAUAAUCCAACUACGGCUUAAACAACGCAUAAAGGCCAUAUUAGACUACUAGAGCUCCUUGUCGUUUCGGGGAGUACGCGUACAAAAGUUGUAUACGAGAAUCUCAUUGGGUGCAAGCGAGUGUUGUCGUUUCGUUCUUAACUUCUUCAGCGCUAAGUUAAUCAGUAGAAUCCCCUUCUUUUCCGUAGAAUCCCCUUCUUUGGGUGCGAGUUUUGAAGUAUAAGUAGGUUAUUGUUGAGUUGAGUCUCAUAUAGAAAGGGAAAGGGUCAUUAUUGAAUAAGAGGUGAAGCAGUGCCCAGAUGAAGCUGUUUAGUUUGAAUUGUGGAAUGAAAUAUAGCCUAGUGUUUCUUAGGUUUGUAUAGAUAGAUCUUGGUAACCUGACAUUCCAAAGCCCCCAAAGUAAGCUGAUAGAGCGGCCAAGUAACUACGUAAGUGACGAAGAAUCGAAUCUCAAAUCUCAUGUUGAGGUGAAAUAAAUAUCAUCAGCUGGGUACUUAGCAAGAGGGGGGCAAACUACGGCAAAGGUCUCUGUCUAUGUGUUGGGAGUUCGAGCAAAGGUCGUAGAGAUAGGGAUGCUGUGUAUUUACUCAAUUCUUUACGGGGCUCGGUAAGAGGUAUAUUCUCUAUUCUUAUAUUACAGCGCUAUAUGGAAUAUCUCUCGCUUUCGUUGCUUGUCCGUUAGUAUACGCUUGCACUUAUUAACAUUCCUUGCUCCGGUCCGGGCUGCUACCCCAAAAUAGGAAAGAAAAGCAAGGUGCUAAGAGCCUGUUUAUAGCUCAAAUGCACAUCCAGCAAUUAAGGAAGUGCAGAACCGCGCUCUAAGGAAUAUCAUAUAGUGCACAAGUUAUGUAAAUCAUUAACCUUACUUCUAUUACUAGAAAUCAUUAACCUGACUCUGUUACUCUAAGCUAAGUCUGCUCUACGGAAGGAAUAUGCCUGACUCUGUUUGUUACUCUAAGUCUGCUCUACGGAAGGAAUAUGCCUGACUCUGUUUGUUACUCUCUUCUCUAAGUCGGCUCUACUCUUACUCUACGGAAGGAAUAUGCUUAGGGCUUUCUGAAGACGGAUUCGAUUGAUUCAUUUCUUAGUCUAGCUAUCCACAGAAGAAUAACAAACUACUCUGGAACUCACAUAAGCACUUUAAGAACAAGAACUCACGUUAGCACUUUGGCGAAAGAAAAUCAUUGAGCGUUCACAGACAGAGUGCAUAGAAUUCAUGAAAUAUAGGCUUACUUAACUUACGGAAAUAGAAAUCUCAUAUAGGUGAAAACGGAUAAUAGAGUAACCUGACUGCCAAAAGCUUGUUUAUUAGCAUAGUAUAGAAGAAGUAAACAAACAUGGAUUACCUUUAAUCACGAAUGGAGUUUACCCUAGACAGCACGAAUUAAGGCAGCCUUACCCUAGACAGCACGAAUGGAGUUUACCCUAGACAGCUUAUUAAAGGAUAGAAGGACAGAGGCAUAGGCAACACAGCUUAGCUUAUUAAAGGACAGAGCAGAGGACCGUGUGUUAUAAGCUUAUUAAAGGAUAGAGCGGAGGAUCGUGUUAGAUUAGAUGAGUACUCGAUAGAGCAGAGAACAGUGUUAGAUAAGUACUCUCUGUGAACCCUUGCUUGUUCGGGUGUUGUCGACAAGAAAGAUCUUAUUGAUUGCUCUGACUCUAAAGAAGAGCAUCUCUCCUAGCAUAUGAUAACUGUAACCUGACAGCAAACUAACUUCUUGCUUAUUGUAUUGUAGUUCGGGGUGUUAACGUUCUUUAAAUGGAAUCUAGCAUAACCAAUAUCCGAGUAGUAAACAACCUCUCUAAAGCAAAACCAAUAAAGGAAUAGUAUACAAUCUAUCUAAACCUAGCUAAACCAAUAACCAAUAUGAUAGUAGUAAACAAUCUAUCUAAACUCUCUUAUUGUGUUGCGCGGUACACCACGAAACUAAGGAUGGGCACCUGGGGUAAAGUCAAAAAAUGGAGUAUAGUCCCCUAACUCACUAACGCCGAUGAACAAAGGACACUUGUCUUGAUGCAAAGACGGGUUCUUCAGAUGGAAUUGAUUCUUACCUUCCAAGCAAGCCUUUACUAGAUGAUGAUAAAGAUCUGUCUUCCGCCCAACAAGCAACUCAACAAGCAACGAACGAAUAAGAAACUAACUUACGUGAAAAAGGAGGGAUGCAAAGGGCUAAGGCUAACAUGUAGUAGAGUGAAGUUACUCAUCGCCAAUCACUGAUUGAAUUGCGGAUUUCAAAUCGAACAGAUGAUGGACACUAGCGGCCCUGACGCCUUUUCAUUUUGACUUGCUUGCCCAGAACCAGUUCCAAUUUCUUUAUUACUUGUUAUGCUUUUGUAGUAGUAGCUUGGCUGGAUGAAACGGAAACUACGGAUUCUCUAAACUCUAAGGAGAAGGAUACCUCGCUCGCGCACCCUUUCCAAAAUCAAGGUAUCGUUGCUACUCCGUUUCAUUGUCUCCCUUUCUUGGAUUUCCAUUUCUUUUGCCGACCUAAACUCUCACAUCGUCAAUCAGUAUUCGGUGAAUGUGUGGCGAGCUUUUCCACUUCCGAUAUAGUACCUAAAUGUUGGAUUUGCUAUUAGCUACUAAGAAUAUAGGUUAACCGACUCGAAUAAGCUUUCUUAAGCCCCUUGAUAGUGCUCGAUAAGACCUCUUGAUAAACCACAUACACUUCCGGGUUUGAAAUGACACUUCUUUUCUUGUCCCGCUAUAGCUUCUUUCUUGUACGGAAUAUGGAACUUCUUCUUACUCAACUUCUAAGGCACUCGCUGCGUAACCUUAUUGUAUGGGGUUAGGGUACCUAUCAAUAUGAUUCUCUUCAAGCAAGUUGUCCAUCUGAUUCUUUUCUGCACUUUCUAACGCGCUUAAUAGAUGUUGCUUCUUUGUUUGUUUACUUCUUCUAUAAUCCAUGUGCAUUCAAUUCCAUUCGGAAAGGCUUAUAUAGGCAAUAAGCAAGUACUUGGGCAAUAAGAAAGUACGCGGCAGGGCAAAAAAGCCGUAUAGUACCAGGGCAAAAAAGCCGUAUAGUACUAGGGCAUCUCCUCUUUCACUCGUAUUGUAUGAAAGUAAUAUGCUUUGCGCUAACGUUUGUUUCUACUUUACCUGGAUACCGCACAGCUUUGCUUAAUCGCUACGUUGGCAAAAGAAAAGAGUGGAUUUGAUGCUGAACCCUAUGCCUCCGCCUUACCAUGAACCUGAAUUGAAUGCUUGACUUGCUCCUUACGCUCGCUGUAGCUCAAACAAAGUAGUAAAGUAGAGUUGCACAGGACUCAAGUACUUAAUUAUUCCCUCGCCUUGCGCCCAGACUUGAUAGCCUUCUUUCAGCGCGCAGACUUGGAACAUGGGUUAUACGACAUCUUGCUUUCCCCUACAAGUAUUAUCAGAGCAUUGUCGGGAGGCAAGAUUCGGAAUUGAUUCCAACAAUGGAAGUUUACCCCCCCGACGAGCUCAGUUCUUUGCUUUCCUUUUUCCGACCUCAACACUGAUUGAAUUGCAGAUGAAACGAAAACAGAACAUUCUCCCCACUACUAUCUUCUUAACCGAACUCGACUCGUACCUUAUACUUAAGCUAGAGAAGGAAUGGAUGAAUUUCCGAACUCGUAUAAUUCACUCCUGGUCUUCUUCGAAAGAUUGCUUUUCGACAAUCCCACGUUGGCACCCACCUAUAAUCCCACGUUUCACCUAUUUCCUAACUAUAAACUAAAGGAAGUAUCUCCUUUAUAGUGUAGCUCAACGCUUAGAAGUUGAAGAAGUAAAGCACCUUCUCUUGAGGAACUACUUAUUCUAGCUAGCUCUAGAAGAGGAAUAACUCCUAGCUUUGGUUGAAACUAUAAGUUAGUGCGGGUAUUGUCGAGCUGGCCCAAAUUCCAACUGGAAAGAAAACGCCCCGUAGUUGAGAUCAGGCCUCUAAGAAACAAGAUUCGCUCCAUCUUGAGGAUCCGCCCUAUCCUUCUAUUAAACGAUGUUGUUAGAUGGUGAGCUCUUCUUUAUGGAGGUGCUCCUCUGGGCUUAGUUAGCUCUUGCUUCAGUCUUUUCUACCUCUUUCUUCUUGUAGCUAUUGCCCUAUUCCCUCUAAACAAGACCCGGCUUACUCGCUGGCGGAUCAAAGCGGUUUUUUCCUACUUUACCUCUUUUGUUGCUUUUGGGGGUUAGCUCUUCCUGACAAACCUUCUUGAGUGAGAUGCCACUAAAACAGGAGAGGAGAAAGUGAGCUCUUUUUUAGCUCCUCGCUGCUCUAGUCUGUGUAUAACUGCAAUUAAUGAAGCGCGCGGCACUCAGCGAUCUCAGGGCUUACUUGGAAGACUCUUCGGCAAAGGGCGUUGCUACUUGUGACUACUUAUAGUGAUGACCUACUUAACUCCCAGCUACCAAAUACAGCUCUAAUGGGUCGAAGCAAGGGCGGUGAGGCGAGUUGUCGAAGUUAUUGUAUGAGAGGAUGUGGUGAUUCUAUUUUCUUCCACUUUAGAGCUUGUGAUUGAGGAACUUUGCAUUUGAUUAACGAAGUGAUUGAGCAUUUAACUAGCACCUUAAUGAUUGCAUAUAGAAGACUACUUUUCAACCCUAGGGGAAUGGACUGGCGGAGUCGACGAAUACGGUGCUGGAGCUAAGAUAUUAGGCAAAUCCUUAUAUCAAAUCAAUAUGGGGGCGUAGCGAUCAUCAGUAUUUGUUCGUUUCUCUAAUAAAAGGAGGUUGGAACUUGGAACUAGAUGCCUUCCCCCCUUUGGUCGGUAAGUAAUUCUAACAAGGGAAGAUCAGACUCAUAAAAAGAUCAAACCAAAUAAAAGCUACACACACUGUAGAUUCUUGCGUUGCGCUAGGAAAAGUGGCUUGUGCCAAAAUGUAGGGUGAAGCUGCAAAAUCCAAUGCCUUCUUUGCUUCUUCGGGGAUGCUAAUGCUCGCUUCUUUUUCUUUCCUUGCGUGCCUCUUUCUUCGCGCUGCUCCUUCCAUAGCCUAUCGCAGCCAACACACCUUUGCGAAAUCCUUUACUUAACCCAUUUUUCGAAAAAAGAGAAACCUGCCUUACAAACCGAGCUCGGGCCCACCCCCUUGUGAAAAGAAUUAUGGCUCUCCCCCGGUCUGUCUCUAUGCUUAAUUCCGGAUUUCUCCCUUCUUCCCUCUGCUCUGUGAACGUACCGAACCUUCAUCCUUUAUUAUGCCGCAUUCGACUAGAGAACGAAUCUAGAUAGCAAUCAAACCUUAUGGCUUAGAUUACCUAGACGUUAGAUUCCUCAGUUGGCAUUCUAGUAGGCUUUUGGAUUUGCCUUUCGCCGGGUUGGAACAGGGCAGUCGCCUGCGUUGAUCCCUUGUUGGAAACGAUUCGGCUGUGUCAUUCGAGUAGUCUUUUCAAUGUGUGCUCUUCUCUUAACAAGGCCUUUUUCUAGCCAAAGAAUUCGAAUGGUGAUGAAAGUAUUGAGACAAGGAGGGAUGCAUGGUACCCACGUUACUAAGCCUUAUUCCCUAUGUUUUUCGGCCUAUUCUAUAGGAGAACUCUUCUUCUCACGCUUACAAUGACCCCGAGUAGGACGAGCUGGCAAUCUCCGAAAAGGGUUAUCAGGCUCAUGGCCAAGAGUCGCGUGGUGAUCAAACUCUGGACGCACCCACGCUUUCAACAAAACAAACUGGGCUAAUAUAUGUACCUGAUGAUUGCGAGGCCCUUUACUCCACCUAUUGGCAUAGGUUAGAAAUAAAUGUACUUGACCAAACUCACUAAUAAGAAUCAACGUUGGGACAGAAACUCACAUCUAUUCUAUAUUCCUAUCUCCUAAGCACGAGACGAGCCAUAACCUAAGGGGCGCAUUAAAACACUCGCUGGAACAUAACUAUGAGGCUUUGAGGGGUCUUCUAAAGUCAAGCGCUUUUCGCAGUAAAAGCACUUUGUUUGGGAAGUUAUACCCGAAAUGGCUAGUAUCCGGUAUUGUAAAGCAUUCCUCACGGCUGUAACUGGCAAGCUACUACGACACUUCUGAUUGUUGCUAUUGUUGCUAUUAUAGUGGAUGCACUAGACCACACCAAUGAAUUGAAGAAUUAGAGAAAGAAAAGGUAGACUUAGAGCAAAGAGGGGAAGGCCGAGAUAAGGUAUAGUAGGAAUAAGAGAUAGGGCUGUUAUAAUAAUCGAAAGUUAAGUAGUAUUGAUAGGGUGGAAUCAGAAUCAAAGGAGGGAGGGUCUCAGAAGCUAGGUUCCGAUGCAGUGGUCCAAGGCUGAAAGACAGGAAUAUCGGAUUCGAAGAAAGGUGCUUCAAGCCUAAACAAUCGAACUACAAAAUACAAAUAGGUAAUGUCCGCUUUAUGGAUAGGGAAGCAAAGAUCCAUAUCGAUAGCUAAAGAAUUCAAAGAGAAAGUAAUAGGAUAGAUCUGUAUUUAAAGAAUCAGAAGAAAAGUUAGGGUAGUUAGCCCUGUUAGCAGUAGUCAAUUCCCCGGUUCGAGUUGUUUUCUUAUUGGCAGUGUUCGGAUUCCCUUUUCUCUUGUUUCAGUAUUGUUUGCCCUAACUCGAUUCUUUUGUGUUAAUAGUGAAAGGCUGUUUGCCAGCUGCUCAAUUCUUAUUGAACUAGUAUCAAUCUUAUAUCACUGUAACGUUUAUAAAUACAGAAUCACUAUAAGGAGUCACAGGCUAAGAAAAAGGAAAGGCAGACUAAUAGACAGGAAUUACAGGCUAUUACAACAGAGGUAAAUACCUUUUUGAGAUCCGUAGCCUAAGAGCGACAGAAGCUAGUAGGUAGGGGACUACAGUCUAUAAGCUAGGAUACAAAGAGCAGCACCGGAGAAUGAGAGCUCAGGGAUAUAGAGACUUAAAGCAGGCAAGGGAAAGCUUGGAAGCACUAGUUCCUUUUUUCGAUAUAGUAGUAUAGUUCCAAUGGUAUAGUCGUUUUCUUCCAGGAAUCCAUCUUGCUUAGGGUCGGGUCAAACAGUUCUCUUUCGAGCACAGAGCAGAGGUCGACCACCUAAAGAAAGGGGCAUGCAAAGUCCAAAGGAGCUGCGGAUUCUUCUGCUUCAAGUAAAACACCCGAAGAAACUCCACUUUCUUCCUUAAACACGAGCAACCGUAUAAUAGAAACACGAGCAACCGUAUAAUAGAAGUUAGCAACUUUGAACUCACAAACUGACUAUAAGGGCCUCAACUCGACUAUCUUCUUACUCGACCUAAACUUGAAGAACCGAUUGCAGCUUACCGCUUUGAUACCGAUGUUUCAGAUCCAAUUACCUCUUUCUAAUACAAUACACCUUUCUUUCUCUAUUUCUCUUAUAGCAGCUGCGCCAACUGUUUGAUUUGAAACUGCUGAUUCUAUCUCUCCGACCUCAACUUGAACCCUUUACUUAUCCUUUUCAUGGCAAGUUCCCUUUGGUGGCUUCUUUGAAUGUGGAAAAGGAGAAGUCCAGCUCUCUUUCACUGCCUUACUUUGGACUUUAUCUAGCCAAAGAAAGACCCGCAUUUGCGCCAAAGCCAAAGACCUGCCGCCAAGCCCAGGAAGCUCAGUAUUCUUAAUCCAGGAAGCUCUUUAUUCAGGAUGCUCAUUCUUCUUAAUCGAAUAUUAUCUUACUUCCAAGGCAUAACAAAUCGAAUAUAUUACUUCUUCCAAGGCAUAACAAAUCAUCAUUAUUUGGGCAAAGAAAGGAUGCAAUAGCAUCGGUUAGAGCAAAGCCCCCGCAUAAUAAUUGUUUCGCCAAUGAGAGAUUUCACGUCACGGAAUUAAUCGAGGCGAGGAAGGGAAGUUAAGGACGGUUCCAAUAUAGACUGCUGUUUCCACUAAAGCAAUUGUAGCAGCUCUAGCACCCAUUUCUUUUGCAACCUUAUUCAUUUAUUACCUUCUAACAUCUCUGUCGAGUUUCUAAUUCUCGUCACUUUCAUUCACGAUUAUCUCUUGACUCGUUGAUUCUUGGGCGGACGGGCAUGAUUUUCGAUAUGUUUGUUGUAUAGUGGCAUUGGCUCACAGACACAGAAUGAAUUGACUGCUGCAUAUACUAUACUUUAUCACUAAUCAAAGGUAUUACUAAACUUGAUUCACUAACUCAAAGUCUUGGUUGGAGGGAAGGGGCGGGGCGUCGCUGAAGUGCAAUAGAGAUUCUUCAAACAAAUCGUAGUUAGGACCGUUUUCUUCAAUAUCUCGAGUUUAGCCAUGCAAAAGACUUCCUUCGUUGGAAACUAUUGCUAUUUCAUUUCAUCAAAAUAUGGGAGUUGAUGCUUUCUAUUCUAUAAAGUACGCUUCCUCACGAAUCUCUCUCUAAGGAGACAUAUUCCUUUUUGAUUCUAGUCAUGGUUCAGAAAGAAUAUGAAAUGCAAAAGUAUUUCUUGCAAGUCCCUUUAUUUUGACUCAAUGAUCCGAUCCACAUUUCCUGAAGCUCGUAGGAUUAAAGCCUAAUCCCGUAACUGUUCUAUGUUCAUUGAUUGCAGUGCGGAACUCUGUGAGAAAAGAGAUUAGUUCUUCGUUUUUGAUAAUUGUCUAAAUGAUUAUAAGAAAUAUUCCUUAGCGCGCGCCCCCCAAUAGUCUUAUCAUGGGUUCCAUGGGCCAUUUCUCUUAUAUCUUUCUUUCUAUCAUUUGAAUGCAUUUUACCUAUGACAUUAUCGCUCUGCUCUCCUUUAGGUUUCCUUUGCAUCUUGCACACCAUAUGCGCCUCUCUGGGAUUUCCUUCGUUCCAAAGCGAAGUCUUUCCCCUAUUCUUUCGUUUUGACCGAGCAAGGCUUUGCUUUUCACUUGAAAGGAAGGGCCACUUCGCGCUUGACUAAUAUAGAGGGCUUUCGGGUAUGACAAUUAAGAGCCUAUUUCGUGCUUUACUUGCAUUGGGGUCAUAGGUGGCCAUGUGAUUGAGAAAAUGCUCCUUGCUCCCUACUCUUUUCAAAAGAAGAAACGGAACUCCUACUUAUUGAAGAAACUGAACUCCUACUUGAUUGAAUAAUAUUGAGAGGGCUAUUGAUUGGCACCCUCUUGAAAAGGCACCGCACCGAUUCACUUUAGCUAUUGCCAUGCUCCAUGAUGCCUAUGUGUUACUAUAGCGAGUCACCUUGUAUGCAUUCCGAGCGAGUUACCUUGUAUGCUUUCUUAUCUCUUUCGCUUCCUUUUUGAUUGUAUUGAUUUGCCUUACUACGAAGGGGACAUCUACUUUCUAUUCUCAAAAUGGGUUGGCUUUUGACUUUCUCUCUUUAUUCUUUUUGCAUCGAGGAGCACGUGAUACUAGGAACUUGGUUUUGCAUUGCAUCGUGAUACUAGUCACUUUGCCCAUUGGAUUGCAGCAUCACAUCAGAUCUGAGAAGAAAGAUUUGGGUCUGGGAGCCACGAUCAGCAAUAAAGCCACGACAGAUCUCAACAGGACUCACUAGUUUAUCAGCACGACAGAUCUAAACAGGCCGUUAGUUGUAGCUUGGCGUGCCUUAACCGCUUGCUACUGGACUAUUGACCCUUGCUUGUACCGAGUAAACUCAUUCCAUUCCAUUCUGAAGUAUACGCUUGGCCUUAAUAACUAGUGAUUUGAGUUCCCGAACACCCCAGCACAGCACAGGACUUGCUCACUCCCUUCGAAAGUAUACCCUUUUUCCCUAUCGUCUACUUUUAUUGCACUGUUUCGAUUUGGCUUAAAGUCUACCCCCGAACUCUACUUUCAACAGGUGAUUUUCUUACUGAAACACUCCAAUCUAUACCUCUCGCUACUGAUUGACACCGCGCUUCAGUAUUAAGUAAGUUGGGCCAUAAUAAACAAAGUCAAGGCAAGCAGGAGGAAGGCCAUGCUACUGCUGACUUUAUACCGCUCCGUGGGCAUUAAAAGAGAUGAGGCUGACUUUGACUUGUACGAUGAAACGGAAACUGGUUACUCGCGCCCUUGCUUCAUAGAUUACCCUCCCUGCCUGGAACCCUGCUCUACUGGCUACCAUUCUCACUUCACUACCUUUGUUUUCACCCUAUAACUAGCGCAUCCAACAAUGAACCAAUCAACUCGUAAUUGAACUGCUACGGCUAAGACUUUCGCUAGCGCUAACAAGAAUGUAUCCUCUAACUCAAGCUACUGGAUCCGAUUAUUACUACCUUGUCCUUAAUUCUGACUUGAAUGCCUACGCUUGGCUGUUAGCCUCCCACUAAGGAUCUAACAUCUCUAUUGGCCCCUUCGACUCCUUACUCAUAUGACUCAUAUGCAAAUAUUGAUUCCUCGCUUUCACACCUGAUUGAGAGUUGACUUAUGGCUUCCCUUGCCGACCUAGACCCUACUUUAGAACCAGAACUUUACCACUACCCGAGCCCAGUAUAAGUAAGUCUACUACCCUCCCCUAGUGAAGGAAGGAAACUGGAGUAUCUAUUUGCUAUCAGGCAAGUCGACAACUAGGUUCAUUCUUAUACAACUGAGUUCUAUCCUAAGGCCUUGUAUGCUUGUCUGUUUGCUCUUCUCUUUAUCGCCAACGCUCUAUAGCACUCUUCACUUCCAUUCUUUAAUGCCUUUUGACUAAUUCUUUCUUUUUCAUGUCUACAUUUCGCUUUCAAAAGGAAGGAAUGCACUCAUAUUCCUAAUGCCCAGAGGAGGACAAGGCCCGCAGCCCUGCCUUUCAUGCGUUCUGCACGUGAAUAAGAAAAGGAGCCCUAUUUCAGUGCUGUUUCAGAUGGCUUAUUACGAGUCAAGGGACACUUUUCGCUGUUAUGAGCAUCCUUUCCAAUCCUGAAAGCUGCCACAAGGAUACAAUUCCAUGUCUUGCGAUGAUUAGGGAUUAUAGAGGUCAUUAUUACGGAUCUCUUCUCUAUGUUCUAUGUUCUAGAGUUUACGACCAUAAGAAGAAAGACGAUUCUAUUUUGUAUUAGGCAUCGAAGCCUAUGGAGCAGAGCUGUAGUUUUGAAAGGAAUAGGGAGUUGAGCUCGACUGAAAGUAGUCUACAUGGUUAGCUUUUGAGUUCUGAUAUAACGAAUGAAAGCCGAUAAGGCCCUGCAAAGGAGAAUACUAGAGUCGAUGUAAUUGAGCUCGAACGUUAGUGAACGAGGUAUAUAAGCGAGUCAACCAAAUAGAAAUCCUGAGUGGAGGCUCUGGCAAGACCUCGAUUCGGUUAGCGAAUACCUAUGGGCGAGAAAGGAGGGGCUCUCAACAACUUGGAUAACGAACUAAGAGCACAUCUAGUGUUAGCGAGUACCUAACAGGAAAGGCAUCCCACUUUCUUUUUAUGCAAUGUAUGCUUUUCAAACUCUGACUGUUCCCUUUUGUCUCUAUUCCUUACCCUUUCUAUGCUAUAAGUAAUAACUCAAACAGUAAAUGCAAUAUAAUGCCGUAUUUGAAAGAAUGAAGUCAAGUCCGGGGGUAGGAGAAAGUGCUAUCUUAUUCUUAUGAAUAAUUAGCUGAGACAAAAGCAUUAGCAUAGGCAGAAUCAGCAGCAUCAGCAAGCAAAUGCCUUUCUUCUCUUAGAAUGAUCAUGAAUGAAAUCCUACUCGCCUUAUUCUUACUAUGUGCUUUAUGGAAAAUGAUGGAUGAAAACCCAUAUUCUAUAUGAGAAACAUAUGCAACGGGAAGAAAGACCCAUUACAAGUUCUCGGUUAGACAUGAAGGAGGGUUGCUUUCUCAGUUGGAAGUGGAUUUCUCAGCCUUAUUCAAGUGGCCCAGGGAUAGCGAAUGAAUCUUGAUGACGAGCAAGUAACGUAGUUAGAUUGAAGAUGAAUGUUCGAAAGCUCGACCAAAAGAAAGAGAAAGAAAAGAAUCCAGUCGUCCAAUAGAACUCAUUUGGAAUCAAAGACGGGGCAGAGAUUGCUUGCCCGAAGAUGUAGUCAUUUCAUUACAAGAAAAGCUUAACUUAGACCUAAGACGAGCCCUAAUAAACGAUCUGGGAGAGGGCAGUAAUCAAAAGUUCCACCGAAGGAAGUGCUGCAUAAAGGGCGGGUCCAACUUACACAGGAGAGGAUUACCCUAGCACUGAAACGGAAACGGGCAAGGCUAAAAGAAAGGCGUAAAGGUAGCUCACGAAAGACAACAGCGCCUCCACGCCUAUUCGAUAGUGAUUCCGAUAACAUCCUAUAAGAGCUGAUUCAAUCGGGUUAUUAGGAAGAAAGGAAAGUUCUUGCCAUCUCCACAGAUAACUAAGAAAGUGGCUUUUCAAUCGAAAGAUCCCCUGAUAUUACCGAAGAAAAUAGAAUGAAUUGAGCAACUCGUGAGUAAAGUAGUGGAUUUGCCCUCGUAAUGCCGACAAAUGGGAGAACUUUAAAGACAAUAAGCAGUGGGCCAAGCUACUAUCCCGGGGUUAAUCACUCGUCGAGUUCCCGGGUUAGAUUCUAAUCAGUAUUGGUGAAAGAGGAUCUGCCUGCGGAGUUCUCGAAUCAAAGUCUGGAUGCCAGGGAUAAGUAAGGAGCCUUAAGAGUCAAGAGAUCAAGUCAGAAUAAAAGACAGGCGAGGUCGCCUUAGAUACAUUGAUUGAGGCAAGGUUCGGUGUCGUCGGUAGAGGAAGUCCUAUCUCUUUGGUUGACUCUUUCUAGUAGUGAUCCAGUAGUGAUUUCCGCCUGAGGCCCCUUUCUCGAAUGCCUAGUUUGAGUAUACGCUCCAAUGCCUAGUUGCUAGUCCACCUAUUCCAGGAGGAAUUAUUUGACCUAAGAGUGGAGUUCCCUAUCUCGGGGUAAGGUAUUUGUUAGCCAGGGUCCUAUUCUCGUAUGCCCAAGUUCACUUAUAUUUAUUACUAACUCCAUUAUUUAGUGCAAUGUUUCCGGUCUUAUACCAGCUCCAUGUUCUACUACUCUAUCCUGAUCUAUUUCCACUACUCUAUCCUUUAUGUACUAGUUCCAUUCUUGUUAGCAGCGGUUCCAAUCUGAAUGCCAUAGUUGGAUCCCUACUUAUAAGGCUUCUAGUGUUGGAUUUCCCAUUCUCUGUUUCGGGCUGAUGGGCCGUAAAGCAAUAUUUCUUUGUAGUCAAGUAAGAAGGGAGGACAGGCUCCUAGGCCAUUUAAGCAAGACUGAUCUGUGUUUGUCUACGGGUCGGGAUUUGAGGUUAGUGGUUCAAGAAUAAGAGCCUGUAGAGGCAGACCCCAACCUAUAACCAUAAUUUCCAUAAGUAGUGAGAGUUUUCAAUCAAGUAAGGGAGGGGGGAGGGCUAACGGGUGUAUAUCAGAAUGAAAGUGAGAGUCGGUUCGGUCUUUUUAGCAGUAGCAAUAUCUUAUAUAUGUGUAUUGGAUUAGCAGUAGCAAUAUCUUAUAUAUGUGUAUUGGAUCCGAUGCAUUGGUUAUAGCCUGUUUGUUUGUGUCACUAGCUCAUUCUUAGACACUGAAGCGCUAUUCCAUUAGUUGUUUGGUUCGUUACCCAGGUUUUAUUGAAUCCUAUUGAAAGAAAGAAAGUUUACGAGUGUGUCGCCUAGGGGAAAGGAAGUCCAUAAGAUCAAGCAUAGAUAAAGGGAAUGAAUCCAAUAAUAGGGGGCGCAAGUAUAGAGCAAGAAUCAAUAAAGUAACUACAACAAGUAUAGAGCAAGAAUCAAUAAAGUCACUACUAUAAUAUGGGGAAGUCCAGAAUAGAAAGUAUAGAUCGGGUACCUUAUUGUUAUUCUAUGCACUACAUAUAAGGAUUACUUGAAACUCGGUGGGCUCCACUUUACCUACUUGAACACUUUCUAAAUGCAAGCAGGGUUCGGUUCGGGUCACAAAUCUAGUAGUUAUGUAGGUGCCUAUAUGUUUUGUAGUCGUUUUUUAAUGUCCCGUUCGGUUCAGUUGGUUGGUCUAGUGUUUCCUUCCUAUAAGUGUAGGCUGUGGUCAGUACUUCAUGUAGUUUCUAACGGUGCCUAUCAAUAAUAAAGUAGAUCAAAUUCCCCGAUAUCCAAUUCUCAUAUCCAUAUUGCAUGACCUAUAGAUAACAUUCCCCUAUAUCCAAUUCUCAUAUCUAUAUUGCAUGAAAUCAUUCCCAAUAGUCCCCAUGAAUCUAAAUGAGGAGAAUCCCCCUUUCCUUUACCUUAAAGCUGUCACUACUAUUAUUCCUAUGCCUCUUGUCGUGUCGGUAACUUCUUAAUGAGCGGGGCUCUAAACUUCACCUCUAGUUGGCUGGGUCAGACAUUAUAACAUUCAUGAAAUACUUAACAAUCCAUAUAGGGACCGAACUUCUACGACAUUCUAGACUUAUCCGCCCAAUAGACACAUCCAUCUAAUGGAACAAAAGUGACCUGAACCUUGUACAAUAGCAAUAUACACCGAAAUCUCAUAUGAAAUCAAUCAAUGGACAGUUUUCUAAGCGACUCUAACCCCCAAACCAAAGGAAAGCGUCUUUUAUCAAUCUAUUUAUACCUUCCUAUAAUAAUGUGUGAAAAAGACCUUCGCGCGUUCUGCCUUUCUUUCUCGGUCGUCUGUCAAAUAGUUGUGGAUUCCGACCUUCUUUUCUCAAUUACUCUCUAUUUCAUUCCACUUCUUUAAGCGAGUACAUGAAAAGUAUACAUAGCGCGAUACUAGAAUGCUCGAAUGAUAGCAAGGUGCUGAAAGCCUUAAUGAGAGCAGGAAGCGAGUGUAGUAGCAAGCCAGUGGUGAGCGAUCGAAAGCGCCAAAGGUCAGUCUCAUAGGGGCGUGUAUAGCACUUUUCGAUAGGAAGAGAGCGAAGGGCAUAAGAUUUAUUCAAAUGGUUUCGCAAAGGGGUCCAGACUUAGACGAAGGUGCAGUUUCAAAAGCUGGUUUUCUGAUUAUAGGCUUUUAAUUAGAGGGGGAGCGCUUGACUCUCUUUUACACGAGGCGAACCUUUUGGUCUAUCAGCUACUUUACCUCAAAAGCUUGAAGACAUGGUUUCUACUAUAAACAAACCAAACCUUUCUUUUGAUAGCGCUUUUCUGUUAUAGGUAGAGGGAAAGUUCUAGCUUUCUGAAUAAGGCCGGCUUUCCCUAUCCAUUGAAUUGGCCGCUUCGAGAUUGGGCUUAGUCUUAGCUUCACCUAUUCGCUAUUAGAUAGAUAUAGUGGGUCAUAUAGGGAGUCUCCCAAGCCAUUCUUUUCAAUAGUAAUAGUCGUUUCUCAUUUCCAUCUUUUAGUAGUUGAUCAUUUCCAUCUUUCUCCGAUACUUUGACUUUCUUCUUACCUAUAACGCGCAACAAACAUGUAAAGAGAGUCUCGAGGGAGCAGUUAAACAAGGAGAUAUUCUAAGUGGGUCAGCUGUUCUUUGGAGUAGGAAGCUGGUUGGUUACUUUCUUCUAUCUAUUAGAUGUGUGCACUUGACUCAUAUUCCAAUUACUGUCCUGUCCACCAUAUUCCAAUUACUGUCUACGGCAGCUACUGGCCUGUAUGGAAAUUCCAUAGGAACAGCGCAAACAAGUAGAACAAGCUCCGGAACUAACAACAAAACAAGUGAGCGGCAGUAUCAGAGUUCCAGAAGCUUAACCGAUACGAUAAGUACUGAAGUCAAGCAAGGGAAAUCUUUCUAUACUUUAGUCUAGCCUUCCAUGUGCCGAGCCGAUAUUCAGGAUUAGGGAAAGCCAUAAGUGAAUCAGCAGAACAAGCAAGUCGUAGAGUGAAGAGCCCGCAGUAAGAAGAGGGUGUUUCAUCCAAAUAGAUACUCCGGAAUACCAAAUCAAAAGGAACUCGCUUACGCUUAGUGAGUUUACAGUGUUUUGUGACUUUCUGGGGUGCUGGUGCAUUAGCUUACUCUUAUCUUUGGGGCACGUAUUAUUUAGUUCAAUCCGUUUUGUGUGUUAUAAGAAGUUCCAGAGGUGUUAGCGACUUGGACCACCAACGGAUACUCGUGUGAGGGCAUCAAAGGCUUUCUUUUCUUCUGCCCCGACCUAAACAAUAAGUUAUUAUCAGGCUUAUUCAUCAAUUCCUUCUUCAGCGCGGUAUCUUCUAGCUUAGCUUAGUGAAGUCUACUUAUGCUCUUUUCUCUCAACUCCACUAGAUUAGGAUUCUUCCCUGAACGAAACUGGAAUUGCAGCUGACGACUUUCUCUACGACUACACUUGAAACCCUACGUCACUCGUCUACAAGAACUUUCUUUGCAACAGACUUGUUACAACAAGGAAAGCUCUUUAACCCUAUGUCACUUUACAACAAGGAAAGCUCUGUCAAUAAGGAAAUUCAAGUAAGCGUCAGACUCUAAGGGCAAUCAGGCUAUUAUCGGGCUGUCAAUAAGGCAAAUGGAAAGCUCUGUCAACUGUCAAUAAGGCAAUGACAAGUCCCUAUUUCGAAUUCAUUAGUUGUCUGCCAUUACCAAGUCCUGUUUUUUAGAGUUAUAAACGAGUCUUUCUUUUGGGCGGUAGGGCAGCUCUUCCACCACCACUCAAAUGAUAGGGAAAUUCUCAUAUUAACUCAGAAACUGUCCUUGCAAAGCUUUUUGGCCACUAAUCCUAUUCUUUGCGCUCUUCCUAUAGGUGGUGCACCAUCUUAAACAAGCUUAAGGCGCUAAGGUAAAGCCUAGUGAAAGGAAUAGAAUAGCUCCGCUGGUCGAUUAAGAAGAUGGGACAAUCAGUUGAGUGACUUUCUUCUAUAACAGGGGCACCUACAUUCAACAAGUCCCUUUUUCGGCUAACAUGAGCGGGACCGGACCUAUCUAUAGUCAAAGGUGAAAGUGUUAUAACUCACUGCCGCUCAACGAAAACGGAAAUUGUAUGCUCUCUUGCACCACUACUAGGUAAAGUAAGGUCAAACUUGAUAUAUCUCCUCGUAAAGUAAGGUCAAACUUGAUAUAUCUCCUCCCUAAGACUGGAAUUGACUAACAUUCUCCCAAACAAACACCUAGGUUAAUGCAAGUAGCAAGUCCGUAAUUGACAACUAUAAUGGUGCCCAUCUUGAAUCGUAUAUAAUGGUGCCCAUCUUGAAUAGUAUAUGUUGGUGCCCAUCUUGAAUAGUAUAUGUUGGUGCCCAUCUUGAAUAGUAUAUAAUGGUGUCCAUCUUUCUCUCUAAUUUACUACUAUUACUAUGUUGGUUCCUAUCUUGAAUACCGGUAUACCUUUUUGCUAAGUCAUUCUCUUGCUAUAUGAGGUCAGCUUUAGUGUAUGUAUUUGGAUGUUAAUAUUCCAUUCCGUAAUAUGAGUUAGGUACAAGUGUGCUAUUAGUUGUGGAUCAUUUAUGGCAACGAUGGGGUGUGGGCUCGGUGUUAUUAAUUUACGUAUAGUUCGGGUUCCAAUAAGUAAGUGAAAGGCGUGGGGGUCAAUAAGAACUUUGCUAAGGGUGCGUGCGCCUAUACCUAAUGUUUUGAGUGGGUUCAAUAAUAAAGUCGAUUUGGAUAACGGUUCCGAUAUGUGAUUCUAGUUCAGAGCGUGAUCGGGCAAGGGAUUAUUCAUCAUUUCAUAUAUAUAUAGGACUUCUAUUUUAGGGUUCGGUUCAAUCUUUGAUAACAAACAGUGCCUAUCGCUAUUGCCUCAUGUGCGCUUUAACCCUAUCUAUACUCUAACAGGCUGGCUGGCCCUAUCUAUUCUCCCGAUAGGUUAUGUCAAUAAAGUCAGGUACCCUCUUUCUAUUCAAUGCACCUCCUAUUCUUGUUGACAGCUUUACUUUGCUAGCUCGGCUUAGGUUGUUUCUCAAAGAGACUUUAGUUUGGCGCUGCUUGCUCUUCAGCUCGUACUUAAUUGGAAGUCAAUAAUUUCGGUUAGGCUAUGAGGAUCGAUAUAAUCUUAAAGGCGUACGGGAAUUACACUUAGAUGAAGGAAGGUAAAGGAAAGGAGUCUUUUGUAGGAUAACAUAAUCUAAAAGAUACUAUUAGUAGGGAACCAUUACUUCUCUUAUAAUCUUAUUAGUGGGGGUAGGGUACCAUUACUUCUCUUAUAAUCUAUUCGCUAUGGGGAACUAUUCUAAUCUAGACGGUCUGUCAAUAAUCAUAUAGUAUAGAUAAGACGGUCUGUCAAUAAGAAAUAGUAUAGAAAACGCAGCAUACAUUAUGUAUGUUAACCCACGGAGCGGUACCAUUACUUCUCUUAUAUGUGGAAAAUGGAUGACAAUGCUGGAUGGGACUUUCCGUAUAGUAAUAAUAUGGGGCAUUCUCCUAUUCGAGAAAUCUAUCCACACUACACCAACAGGCGGAGCAGCUCCUAGUGCUCUGGCAUUCUCAUCCUCCUGAGAUGGUCUUUCAUAUUAUUGCCCCGCCCUCCCUGUUUCCAAUUAUCAAGCUCCCUUUUUGAAGUCAUUUCUAUCUUGAACGCUUUCUGAACUACGGAUUAUUUUGGGAUUCUUCAGCGGAUUCUGUAACCGCUUUUUCAACCCCUCGGGAAGGACUGUAAGAGAGCAGCCGAUCAGGGCACUAGAUCGUUCUAAAGUCACCUAUGUGUGGAUCUGCUCCUAUAGUCAGUUUACAAUCAUAACCCAACACCCAAAGUCACCUAUGUGCAGAUCUCCUCUGCUCCUAUAGUCAGUUUACAAUCACAACCCAACACCCAGUGCAUUUCUUGCACUUUCGUCUUUGCUUGCCCACUUACCAAUUCCGUUCUUCUUCAAUACAAUAAGAAGAUAGACCAUAUUCCCAUAUAUUCAAUGCUUUCCUUGGCUUUUGAUCUCGUCUCGAGGUUUCCUAUCCUUUGGAUUUCGCGUCCAAGUACGAGCCGGAUUGUGGCAUUAGCCCCCCCUAUUGUGGAAUGGGUUCCAAAUCCGGAUCAAUUCGUUUUUCCUGCUCCAGCUGAGGCUUACUUUCGGGUAAGAGUCAUCAUAGUACCUCCAUCUAUCAAAAUGCCUCUGAAUACUUGAAUCAAUCUCUCUUAAGCACUCUGAGCUGAGGAGUAGCUUCACUCAAAACACCUACUUUACUCAGGAUGUAGAUACGCACGAGCGACUGCCCUCACACGCUCUAAACUAGGAAUCCAUACUUCUCUUUGAUUCUAAUGUCAUUUCUGGGCCUCUUCGCUAAACGGCUUGUUUCAUGUAAGUGUGCACCUGUUCUGUUCCAUAAGUCAGUAACGAAACACCCUUAUGAAGCGCAAAAUACUCUUAUGUAUGGCCAAACUCCAGAAAUGUGGUAAGCUGAUUCCUGGCAACGAGUAUCUUUCUGUUCGCCCUGUUCUACUUUCAAUCCUGAAUCGGACCGGACUAACUAACGCCGGUUGUUUGUUCUUUCGAGCUCACGUUGCUUGUUGAACUAACUAAGGCACUUUCAUUUCCAGUAGAUAAUUCGAAUAGGAAUCGAAUUGUUGUGCACCCAUUAGAGAGGGCACAGUAAGUAACCUAACCUCCGAACGAACUCCACAAGAAGAUCAUUUAGUGCACCUCACCUAGGAGCAGCGCUAAGAAUAAGGUUCUAGUAUCAAGUAGAACAUGCGCUAAAUUACCAUGUCAUCAAUGCGCUAUUAGUACGAGUCAGAAGCGAGUCUUGUUUUCGUUCCUUUCUCAUUACAAUUCCUGUUUUUGGCUCCCGUUAUGAGUAAGUCCUAAUUCUUCCUUUUUUCGUUUUAGGAGCGAGUCUAGAUUGAUAGGUUAAGCGCAAGUCAACUAUACCAGUUAUAGAAUGGGGUAACAAAAGAGAUAGGUGGAGAGUGGUUUGCGGGGUGCUUAGGAGUUAGCUUGUGUGUUGAGUCACAAGAUCCGUUUUAGGUUACUUGUAGGGCAAAGGAGAUCGAAAAAAGGCGAUAAAAGGAUUCUACUAAGCUUGCCUACUUUCUAUGUGCUCGUAGCGAAUGACUAUAAGGCCGGGCUCAAAGGAGUGUCCGUCCUGUGACAACCUUUCUAUACAAUGCCAGUUCCAUAUUCUUUUGUUUCAACUGAUCCUGACUUUUCAUCUACAAAAGCUUCUGGUCUUGCUGAUGGUCUCGUCGACAUUCACUUUGGGCAACCCUCACUUUCGCUAACACACAAGAAACUUGACUUUCCAUUCCUUUACUUCCCGCUUCUUAUCCUGCUGAUGAAACUGCUGAUUAAGAUCUGUCUCUUGAAACGAUAACUCCACUUGAAGACCCGCCCGCCACCAAGUCAAAGUCAAACGGAAUGAUGAAUGGAAAUGGAAUUGAUGCCCUACGCUCCAAUAAGAGAAGUGUUCGCGGUACUUGUUGAAUGGAAAUUGGACUAUCUUGCAUCACCAACUCUGUUAUUCUUAUUUCUUAUAUAUAUAUCUAUAUGAAACUCCCUUAUUUAUUGUUGAUUCUUCGAGACAAACAGCUUCAUAUCGUGCUCUUCUGGUUAUAAUCCUUCUUUUGCUUAGCGAGUCGAUUCCACUCAAAAAGUGCAAUUCCCGGUUGCGCUACUUCUCACUCAACUCUCCCUCUGUGCUUUAAUAAGCAGGGUUCCUAACUCAAUUCAACAAUAUGCAAAUUAGGCGCUUUCAGCACCUUUAUUUACUAUUUCUUGUAUCGGGUCUGUGUCAGGGGUGAAUUCUGAAGUUUGGGAUCGGCCUUUGACUUUUCUCGUUUUCCGUCUUCCAUUUGUUUACUCUCCACGACGCACUCGCUUCAAUUGACUACUUUUACCACUACUCUACAAGGGAAAGCCAGCCAAGUUCAAGCAAAUAACUCAACUCCAAGACUACAAAGGUAAAGAACAAAACUGGAAUUUCCAACUGAUAAGGAUGAAAAAAGGGCUACUAUUGGAUUGGGGUCCUAUCCUAAAGUAGGAACUAAACUAUCUUAGCGCCAACCUAUACAGCUUACUUGAGCCCGCCUCGCACAGAACAAGCUAGAAAUCAUUCCAUUUCUCUAUCUUGCCCCAACUUAUAUAAUAGCUUCCUUUCCUUACUUUUCAUAUUAUUUUCUAUUUGAUUCCGUGGGCCUCCUGUCUGACUUUCUCUAUUUGUUAAUGGGAAGCAAGCGGUGGGGCAUUAGUUGAUCUAUACGAUAGACCCCGGACGUAGCUUAAAGGUGAACCGGGUAACCACAGAACAAAAGGAAGUUAGCAGGGAUUGUAUUCAUCAAACAGAGGUGCUGGUUCGAAUCCAGCUUGUGAUAAUACCUUUCUUUGGUCAUGCUCAAAUAUAGAAUGGAUAUUUACCAGAAAGAUGAUUCGAUGCUUAUUAUAGGAUUAAUUAGAUUAACUGACUCCACACCUAGGAUUAAUUAGAUUAACUGACUCCACCGGCUCCUUCUCAGCCUUAAAGUAUCUGAGCUGAUGAAAUAGCCGUUAUGUAUUCUUUAUUGAUUUUACCACCAGCAGCGGAGAGGAAAGUAACCAAGAAAAUAAGCAGUUUCAAGUCGAGUGAGGGAUGCGCAUACGCCUAUUUGUUCUUUUCGGGAUGCGCUAACGAGAUACGAGUUCCGAGUUACUGACUAAGUAGGCUAAGCUAACAGGAGUGGAUCUGGAGUAGCUUGGCUUGGAUCCUUAACAUUCCUAAUUGUAGGACUGUGUAAGUCAGCUCAAAGAGGGAGUGUCAUCGGUCUCUUCUCUUGUUCUAGUCCCUUCGCUUCGGUCUUUAAACAAGGGAUAGUUAUCCUCCAAAGCAAAUAUACAAUCAUUGAGGAAUGACACUAGGAUCUCCUCUCUUGUUCUAGUCGCCUUUGGUCUUUAAACAAGGGAUAGUUAUCCUCCAAAGAUACACUCAUUGAGGAAUAUACUAGGAUCUAAUACUUGGCUAUCUCCUAAUUGGCUAUCUCCUACUGUCUAUCUAAUACUUGUCCAUCUCCUAUCCUAAUGGGCGGCUAUUUCCUACUGUCUAUCUCCUACUGUCUAUCUUAUACUGUCUAUCUCCUACUAGCAAUAUAGUCGUAGCUUUUCGUGUGCUGUGUUAUUUGAUGAAGUCAGACUUGUUGGUAUUUGAGAGCACUCUUACUGAGUGUACCAAGGCGGUGAUUGUACAGUAUAGUGGCCUUCGACUCGAUUUUGACACAGCUUGCUUCGAUAGUGUAAGGGGCAUGCAUCUAGUUCAUAAGCAAGCAAGGGUUUACUAUGUUUCAGCUUGCUUGUAGUGAUCUAUGCAACUAAAUAGAGAAGUCUCCGAUCGUAGCGAGAUAAGCCAAUAGCCCUUCCUUCAUUGCGGGCGUGUCCCCGCGGAAUCCUAGUCUAAGGCAGCGAAAACAGUAGGAUGGUUUUGAAUCGAGCCUCCACUGGCGAAUGGUGUAUACGGAACGAAGUAGCAGAGACUCAGGUGCCCCCGGCCUCCAAGGCAUGAAGCUCUGACUCAGCUAUCCAAGUAGAGGCAGUAAGGAGUAGAGUCCUAGAGAAUAUGCUAUAUCCAAUAGGACACACGCUCCACGAUGAUAUGAGAUAGCGAGCUAACUAGGGUUCAACUACUCUUAGUAAGAAGACCUAACAUAUUGAUAUUCGAAUAUUUCCUCCGGUAGCUAGCAUAGUAGGGUAUGUGUUAAUUAAUGUCAGUGUGUGUUGUGACGGGCCCGGGGAAAAGAAAAGGAAGUAUUGCUAUGGCUGGUGGCAAUGAAAUGGCAUUUGAGGGGCGAUAGAGAAGCAUGGCCUAAUAAUGCAGAAGGGUCCAAACAUGAUUGGCAAGUCCCCCUGCCUGAGAAAACUCUAGCUCAUAAGUCAUGGUCGGCCACUGGUUCUGUCAGAGCUGCGUAAUCUCGCUUACCUAUAGGGUUCAUCCACAAAUAGAAACUCUGAUCUCCCUACGUUCGCUCCGCCCCCCACCUUACAUCUUCUUACCCCGCACCAAAGGUCUUUAUCCUGUUGUAGCCGAUAUCUCAUGUAAUAUCCUAGCUCCGCUCCUGGCUUCGGGUCGAGCGUAAGCCCUCUCUUUCAUUCGUGAACAAUGCCGAACAUUGCUUUAAGAACUCCGCUAGGCAUUAGAGAUUUGAGGCACCAGCUUCUCUUCUACUUGCUUAUUGAUCCGAACCCAACACUUUAGAAGGAAAGAGGCAGACUGCUUACUCUCUUGGGGCUAAGGCAAACUUAUAACGCACCCCGAAAGCGAACAUUAGCACAAUAGUUCUGUUGCUUCCUUUCUUUCUAGGUGACUUUCUACGAGAUACUUGACUUAGAGCUGUGGGGCCAGUGUUACUUACAAUACUGCAUGCUGCCCAAUUCACAUAAGCACCCCUUGCCAAGCUACUACGGAAGGUAUAAAACUCAGGAUCCAAAGUCUAGUUCUCCGAUAACUAAACAUAUAAGUAUUUGGAAUAGUUACUUGGCCAGUGUUUUCUCUUGAUUUCUUCUAUUCUAUUUCCAGUAGCUGUAGUAUUCUAUUCUAUUUCCAGGAGUCAGUAUCUUUUUGUGAUUCUCUUCUAUUUAUUCUCUUCUUUUUCUAGUUUCAUAUGCCUAACCUCUUUUUGUCUUGCUCCAUUGAUUCCUUUGAUAGCUUUCGGGAAUUCUCCACUACAUCUAGACUUCCAUUUCUCCCCCACGUUUCAAUCUGUACCUUUCAAACCAAACCCUGGACUUAUUGAUUUUGAUCCCACUCACGUUCGUUUGCGCUGCGCCGCUGGGCUCACUAGACCUGAGGAUCUUCAAGAGAGAGAGAGAGGAUGCCGGCUUUGCUUACUCAACUCUUCUUUUCUAGUCAUACUUGAACUCUGGCUUCAGGCGGUGGCCCAGACGUAAUGGAGAUUAUCUCUGAAUAAAGGGUACUAAAGCAAUGAAUGCACGGAGUAGAAUAAGGGAGUCGAUUAGCAAUGAAUGCACGGAGUAGAAUAAGGGAGUCGAUUCUCGAACGAAGAAAGAAAAGGAUACAUGUGUUUGUUUUGUUGACUUCGAAAGAAUUGAACGAGAUGGAAGAGCCGUAUAAGGUGAGGCACGCCCUUCUUCCUCAUGUGAGUAAGUCUAACUCGCACAUCGGUCAAAGCGAUGUCAUCGUUGUGGUAUCUGCUUGUUCCUUCUUCUGAUACAUAGCCCGCUCAUUCUUCUUCUCGAGUCGACUUUCAUUGCUGCUCCGCUGACUCCUUACUUGAAGCUCAAGCUAACUGACUCAACAAGGAAGCAAAGCCAUGAGGAUAGAUAGUUUGGUUACUAUACUUAUACAAUGUGUGAGUUCAACUCUUUUCAACAGGUAACGGCGCUAGUGAGUUAAGUCAGUCUUGAUACAAUGCUCCAUUUUUCAUAUCUGAGUGGAUAGCUGGAUUCAAUAAAAUAAGUGAGGGCAGGGCGUUCCGCUAAGGCUUACUUUAUUUGGUGCUUACAUUCAUUCUUUCGCACAACAUCUUGCUAAACAAGAGCACCUGAAACAAUACUCGAAACUGCUCCAUCUGUGGCUGGGCUUCUGCGCUAAAAGAAGAAAUCACUUGUUCUGUCCUAUUGACUAAUAAUAUAAUAUACGAGAACCUAUGUGACUCGAAAGAAGCCUAUUCUUCCGCCUCUACCUUAUGUAGAACUCAUUAAUAAUAUAUCAGGCAAACUACUUAUAUAAGACUCAUUUGUUCCCUUUCACUCUAAUACAAGGAAAGAGCCCCCCUAUCUCUUAUAUUUCAUGAAAAUAGACUCUCAAUUCAGUACUUGGAAAUAGCUACCCGUAACUUAGGACUUGGAAAUAGCUACCCAAAGAAAAUACACUUGAGAAUAGAACACCAGAUACCACGCCCCUAACUAUAGUCAAAAGCGUUAGCGCCACAGCUUGUUGAAUUGAUACUGCCUCCCUCCAGCUUAUUCAGUAAUGUGAGCUUUGUAAGGAGUGUCGUUUUUCAUUCUAUAUUCGUUACGCUAGAUUAAUUCCGCAGUCUAGAUUCAUUCCUAUGUGUAUAGUAAGUAUCACUGGCCCACUUAUUGUUAAUUGUUGUGUUGCUGCGCUUAUAGUAAGUAUCACUGGAUUGUUGUGUUGCUGCGCUUAUAGUAAGUAUCACUGGCCCACUUAUUGUUAAUUAUUGUUAAUGUUUGCUCAAGCAGUAGAAAGUAGAGUAUCUCGCAGCUCGAAGUAAAGUAGAUAGUGUAAAGUUGCAAGACCAAACUGAUCCCCUACUAUACUUGCUCCAAGCAAAGAAGUACUACUAACGGAAAUGAGAUUAUGUUCUGUGCAGUAAGCAGUGCUGUCUUACCCGACCCUCUUUCUUCUAUAAUCGAAUGUGUCCCCACCCUAACCCUAAGAUCAGGAGUUAUGUUACUAUGCUUCUAUCAGUGGUGUCUCAUAUAAUCAAUGAAUGGUUGACUUCGGCCCUACUUUACUUAGGUGCUCAAGCAGUAGAAAGUCAAGUCUAUCGUAAGGAGUUCUCUCAAGCAGUCUAAGGUAACGGUAUCAAUCAAUUAGUUGCUCAAGCAGUAGAAAGUGUAGUUGCUCAAGCAGUAGAAAGUGUAUUUUCCAGAGGGGAGUAUAUUGAUUGUCCAUUUGAAGUCAUGUUCUAAUAUUGGAAGUUAUGUUAUUAUUUGGCACUAUAUUCUAUUCAUUAGGGAAUUUACACUAUAUUCUAUUCAUUAGGGAAUUGGGUUCAAGCUUUCCCCAGCCCCUUUUCAUCAAUGGACUCCUAAAUCAAUCAAUAGUAUACGAAGCAGUGGUUGGUUACUAUUAUAAGAUGUCAAUACUUCUCAAUAUACAAUUAUUAUAGAAGAUGUCAAUACUUUGCUUAGUCAAUAAAUCCAUAUUUGAGAGCGUUUUUACACAUAAGGAAAUAAAGUCACACACGAUAUAAUCAUUAUCUAACCAAACUCACUUAUUACUCUAAAGAAGAGAAUGGUUGUUAGUACCCCGCCUCUUAAGAAUAGAAUGGUUAGUACCGGUACCAAUAUCACCUAUCUACCAGAAUGUCGGCACCCAAAGCAAAGCAAAGAGACUCCACUAGGACUUCACCGGUACCAAUAGAACCUACCUACCGUCGUCACCCAAAGCAACUAGGACUUCUAAUUUGACUGAUGGAGGAGAUGCCUUUUCUCUAAUUCAUAUGAUGGAACCCACUUAUUUCUAUAUAGCAUAAGGAGAAGAAUUGACGAGCGAAAUCAAGUAGAUAGAGCCUACGAGAGAUUCUGUACUUCCUGUUGAGAGAGCUAGUAAACAAGUCAACUCGUAACUACUAUUCUUUAAUGAAUUCUAUGUGCGCUACUAUGCUUUAAGAGAUCUAGAUUCUAUUAGAUGUGGAUUGCGGGCUACUAUGCUUUAAUGGAAUCCAUUCUAUGUGCGCUACAAUUCAGAAAUCAAUAGAUCCAGUUGUGUCUACUUGUGGUGUGCAUGACCCGAACGACCACCUGAUGGGCAAGUGCUUUCAUGAAUGAAUGUGUUAAACCAAUCAAUCUUUUCGUUACAUAUCAGGAAACCUGCCCCAGCUAACUCGAUUUCCCUAAUAAAAGAGAGAGAGGGCGUUCCAUAUGGAGCUCCUGAAGAAAGGACGAUGAUACCUUUGGUAGGCAUUGGGGGUAUCCUGGAUGAUACCUUUCCUAUUUCGUUGGAAGUAAUCAGGAAGAUUCCUCUUUUUAUAUGCCUACAUGACCGCCGAUCGUGGGAAGAUGGAAAUCCCAACUAGAGUCGCCUUGCCGAUAAAAUGCUAUUGGAUACCAUAUGUGUCGAGAUUCCGUUUGGGUCUACUCUCACUUUCCGCUGACGCCCCUUAACGCCAUUCAUUUUUUCAUCGUAAAUACCCUGCGAAACCUAAACUACGUAACAGGGCUGAUAUAUGUAAUACUAUGUUCCUUUUUCAAUCCAAAGUCGUGGUUAUCAAACUCUUCAUCGAAUGAAAAGUGAUCACACUCGGAUAGCAUUUACCGUGAAAGGGCUAAGACUUUAGGAGGGGGCCCCGCAACAAGGAAUGUAAAAAAACUACCAACUCGGGGGAACUUCCAAAGUAUUCCUUGCUGGCAAAGAGAUAAGGCUGCUAACAUAACAGAUCAAAGCCUAUAUCCGUUGAACAUUGCUUUAAAUAAAUGAAGCCGGCUCUAGCCCUGGACCAUAUGGAUUACUUCACCCGUACCUGAGUCAGAGGUAUUUCGAAUUUAGAGACAGACACACUUUCUUGCGAUCAAAUAUCUAAUAGAACUUGAACCCACUUAUAGUAGAUCCCCAUACAUUUGCCUUACACUGGCUUACAACAGGGAGGAACUGGCCAAUAGAGCUCACUCCUAUGGACUUAUCAUAAUUUCUACUUUCCAAGUCUCUCCCACGCGUAGAUCCAAAGGGGAAGAAAGCCAGGGAAUAGUCUAACUUCCUUAACCAGAGAUUCGAUUAUUCCGCCAGACUGCUUGGACCUAGAAUCUCCUUUUUGUUGACCUAUCCCUACUUUGGAAAGAGAAAGAUAUGACCGGCCCCACCAAUCACCUAUGUAUAGCCUACAACUCUUAGACUAGCUUUAGCCUACCACUCUUAGACUAGCUUGGAAAGACUCCUUCCUUCAAAAGUCACUCGCUUUAUUACUGGAUAGAAGCAAAAAGGAGCAGAACCGGAUGAAAGCACAGCACAUGGACCUAGCUUGCAGGAAAAAGAUGGAACGGAAAUUGGCUCGAAGAAGACCUCUUUCGAUCGAAUCUGUAUCUGGAUAGGCAGGCUAGAGGGAUUCUAUGGUUUUUUAGACUCAAGGAUAUUUCCAAAUACAAUAUCUUAGCAGCUUUCAAAAAGCACUUUAUUACAAAAACAAUAGCGAGACGGAGACAGUUGGUCUAGAGACUACCUUAUUUCUGAAAUGGAAAGAAUAGGAAUUAGCAAUUCCAUUGGGUAGGCAGCUUCUCAGAGGACUCAAACUGGCUGGGCAAAGUGUAGGAUUGAAAUGGAAACUAGAUAGAUGGGCUUGGAAUUGAAACUCCAACGCGCUCACCCGGAUAAGAGAAAAGAAAAGGCCUGGGAAUUAGCGCGGAAAGUCCGGAGGCUUCACUUCUCCCCAUGGAUAUAGCGGGAAACGACAACUUUACAAAGCUGUAAAAGAAGCUUGCAACGGCUCGCAAGGACCAAAAGCAAACGGAACUAUAACUUGAAUUGCAUCUAUCAAAAAGGAUGGGCCCGCAAGAGAACUAAAAGAACCUGGCGGGGAACUUGAAAUAGCUAACGAAUGAAGAGAGAAAGAUAGAGGAGAGCUUAGUUACUGCAUUGUAUGUAAACGUAUUUACGGAAAGUCCUGUAUCAGAGAACGGGCCACGCAGACAAGACGGCGCCAAGUCGACAAGCAACAACAAGAGUCCGCCUUGGCCUUAGCGCUUCCAAGCCUGUAAGAGAAUCUUCCCUUACCUUAGCAGCAACGCCAGUACCUAAUCCCUCACCUGCUCGGGCAAUAAAGGACUCCAAAUCUGGGUUAACGAAGAGCGGUCAAGUAUCUCGGAACAGAGGGAGGCUCAAGCUAGAUGCUCCGGAGUUUUCGUAGCAUUAAGGGAAAGGACAAGAUCCGAUGAAGCAACAAGCGGUGGUGCCAGAGAACAAGAUAAGAGUUUUAGGGGUUCGUUUUUCUAGAAUUGUUGUAAUCAUAAGCACUUAGAUGCAACAAGUAGAGUCGGAACGGAAAGAAAAGAUUGGAAUUGGAAUGGUUCGCCACUUAACCAAAAGAAGCUUCCGCCGUUGCUAUAAGAAAAGAAUAGUGAAUCAGAGAGAAGCAUAGUUACUACACUGCUGACUUAAAAGUAAGGGUUAGCUAAGUGGGAAAUGAGUGGAAAGAGAAGAGCGGGAUCAAUCAGGUAAGCGUCGCGGGACGGGAAAGAAAUAAGCUCUAUAUUAACCCCGAGAAAGUUAGUAGCUGGCUCACUAACGCUGAUUUGGAGUAACUCGCUAACGGAGCCCUAAACAAGUAUACUAUAGGAUUGUGAAUCUCAUGCUCAUGUACGCUCUGCUGCUACAUCUCAUGCAUCCUCUGCUAUUACAUCUCAUGCACCUUCUAUUUCUUUCUAUAUCUAUUCCAAAGGGGUGUCUUAAGUGUUACAGUCAGAAGUCACUCCUCUUUCUUUCUCGCUUCCGAAGCCCAUAAUCCUACAAGGCAAUCAGUGACGUGUCUUAGUUUCGAAGUUUCUCAGUCAAGGGAAAUACUUUCUGCUCGAAGUAUCGAAGUAAAGUCCCUUCUUUAUGCACAUACAUAUACAUAGCCAGACACAAAGGUGUACAAUCCGGUGAAAUUAGACUUGAAGUGUUCAGUAACUAUAGGUUCUAUUACUUGCUCUAGUGACCGGGCCAACCGAUAGGGGAGAACGAAUGGCUCAGGAAUCGACUGGUUCCGAGUAGACUCGUGGAGCUACACAGCUUGGAUUAUUUUCGAAUAUAUAUAAUAAGAGGAGCCGAGCUAAAUGACUUAAAAGAAAAGAGCCGCUGCGAGGCGAGGGGGGGCGUAGAGAGGUCGGUGCACUCACUCCCGUUACGAGAAUGAAAUGACGCGCCACGAGCACUUACAACUCGCACGAAUAGCGCCACUUAGUGGCCGGAGAUGGAUUGAAAAGGAAGCCCACCCCCCUUUUUGGAUUGUGAGAAAGAGCACACAGGACCUUACCCACUAAUCAUCAUCUCAUCUUAGCGAAGCAUAAAACAAACCCACUAAUCAUCAUCUCAUCUUAGCGAAGCAUAAAGAAGCUCCCCCCGCCUACCUACUCGUGUUCGUAGCUCGAUCGGAGGUCAAGAGUGUGGCGGAAAAAAAGAGGUAGUCCGUAUCAAGUGAGACGUGAAUUGCUCAGUAGUGCUUCGCCACUGGACGUUGACCCGCAGGCGGAAAUAGCUUAAUGGUAGAGAUAGCCUUGCCAAGGCAGAGGUUUAGGGUGAAAUUCCCUCCUUCCGUUCCUGGCUUCGUCCUUUAGUGGUAUAGAGUUGAGUGCAUAAGCCCCUUUCUACAAACCUUUAUAUAAUAUAAGGGAAACUCGAAGAGCUUUCUUCGCAUGCUCCUGCAGUACGAGCCUCAUAGCCGCGCUUUAAUAUGAUGAGAAGAAGAGGGGCUCCUUAUAUUCCGAGAAGAAGAGGGGCUCUUUCUAUUCCGCGAAAAUCCUUAUUUACAUCUUAUGGGGGGUGUAUAGCUCAGUUGGUAGAGCAUUGGGCUUUUAACCUAAUGGUCGCAGGUUCAAGUCCUGCUAUACCCAAACCUACCUUACACUAUACAAUGAGUAUGAGUAAGGAUGCGUUCAAAGAGAACUCUUUUGCCUUUGGACUCGCUUCGGCGACUUCGCCCUUUCAGUGACAAGGGUUGUGAGGUAAGGAGUAGUUCCAAGAGUGGCUCGGUCAUCGAUAGGCCCAUCCUUAUUAAUUCUCUCUAUAGGGCAGGCGCUCCCUACCUCUCGCAUUUACUUAUCUUCAUUCUUUUUUCGCCAAGGUAGGUGAUCGGCCUUACUUUUCUAGAAGGAGUGGAGUAUCUUCCAGUAACGGCGAACAGGGGUCCCGCCUGGAUUUCCUUUUUCGUUUAUUUUCUUAUUUCCUCGAAUAUGGAACUUUCGCCCUCCUCCUUGGUGCUCCGCCAUGGUUCCAGCAUGUGAUUAGUGAUUAACUCCAUUGCUUCAUCACCUGAUAGACACCUAAACAGAAUUCCCGGUAUGCCUCUUUUGAAUAGCUUACCAUCAUGCACUAUAUACCUUUUGACCAUCUUCUUGAGAAAGUGCCUUUUGUCCGAUACUCAAUAGAUAUUAUGGCUGUCUCCAAUCCACUAAUGGAUAAAGGAACAUUCUGAUCAAUCGGGGGCAUCCAUGUGCACUGAUUGCUUUAGUUCUUGAAUCACAGCAUGUCUCCCAUCUCCUUCUUUAAUGACAUCUGAAUAUAGCUUAUCGUGAAAGUUCCAUGUAGCUGAGCAGGAGUUCGUCGCUUGCGGAUCUUCUCAUUAUCUUCGCACUUUUCUCUUUGAAGCUAGAGUUGCCAAAGAAUCCGGUAUAUAUGCACAAACUUUCCCUUUCUCGCUUUUGGAGUUCCCAAUUCUAUGUAAAAUUCUGACAGCUGUAACAACCAUUGCGCUGUCCUUCCCGAUGGGGCUGGCCUUGACAGCAAGUACCUUAUCUGAUUAGCCCCCACAACCAACUUUCUCUUGUGCACCAGCAUAUAAUGUCUGAACUUUCUUUUGGGCUGCAUAUACUCAAAAGAUGUAAGCGCUUUUUUCUCUGCUUUAGUGUAUCUCGCUUCCGCUUCUUUGAGAAUUAUACUAGCAUAGUCGAUUGUUGGCUUUUCUUAACCAUUUUGAUCAUCCUGUGCUAGCACUCUAUUCCGAUAAGCAUUAUCAUUGAAAUGAAAACAAGAUAUAGCGUAAAGUGCCUUACCAGCUAUUGGAGCCAUCAUCACUGGGGCGUUCGCUAAGGUCUCCUGUCUUUUGGAAAAGGCUUGCGGACAAGUAGCAGAAUCUUGUCAAUAUGCCUCUUACCAUUUGGACUCUACCUUUUUCUCUUUGGCAAUUCAAUAAGAGGGGCGGAACAGAAAAGGCAGCUAACCGCGUUGUGAUGAAAUCAAUGUUUGCCUUCAAGCGUUAAGUAUUGCCCACUUAUGGUUAAUAGCAAGUUGAGUAUAGAAUUGAUUGGUAAUUAGACAGAGGCAGAGCAGACUAAGCACUAUAAGGACAGAGGCAGUCUAAAGGGGCUGGCUUAUGCACUCCACUCGUUACCACUAGCAGCAUAGACACCGUUAUCAAGGACAGAGGCAGUGGCAUAGACACCGUUAUCCAAGUGAAAAGCAUAGAAAGAGACAGCAGACAAGCAUCUCCUCAAUCAGUUCCGUAAUAUCUAUUUCUUGGAUUUCUCUAUUAUGAGUUAAGUAAUAAGUGAGUUUAGUGUUUGUUUACUUAUAGAUAUAAGUGUGUGUCAUCAACGGAAUUUCUUAUGGUUGUGUUUAUUACAUUGCUUGUUGACUUUCAUUACUCAUAUCGGCAUAAUAAUCCUAUACGAUAAGUACAUAGGCAUAGGUACCGUUAUCUAUAUUAUAUGAGACCGACUGAACUUCCCGUGUAGUGACAGCUUCUUACUAUUCUACUAUAUACUUAAUUGGACUAUUCUACUAUAUACUUAAUGGAGCUCCCGAUAAACAGUUUCGUUUAACUAGACUAGAUGAUUCUUCUUGCUACAACAGUUGGACCUGUAGCGCCAGUAAGAUAAUAUUUCUUCCCGCACCACACCGAAGCAGUUCCUUGUAAGAUCCAGCAGGUAGAAAAAAGAAUACUACUUUCAAUCAGGUUCCCCACAGUAGAAAGUAUGUCCUCAAGAUGCAUCGACUGAUACUAUGAUUGUCGGAGAGGUAUUGUCUUAAUCAAAGCAUUGAUUGUGUUCACCACUCUCCUUUCUUUGACGGCGGGUUUCAGGGCACUACCAAGCAUUAGCCCAAGAGAAGCGAUAUCGCAAACAAACUUAUAGCAUUUCCGGGCGAGGGCAACCACACUCUUCGUUUCUAGAAAUGGGGAACAGCAUCGCUUGAUUAAAGGAGUUAGAAUAGAAUAGGUCUAGAGAUCUGUGCCACUUUCUGGUCUGUCUGUUCCUCUGUAUCAAGCCCGUAGCCGUGCAGCCUGAAGCCUGUCUAAUCUUCUCUUUCUCGCAAGCUUCAAAGAUUCGAAAAGGAACUAAAUUGACUGAUUGAAUGGUGGAAUGGACAUCCCAUGUCUUCUUGAUCAAAGUAUGUUGUCAGAAGAAUUGAGACUUUCUCAGUGGCAUAAGCCGAAGUAGAAGCAUUAGCGUACCCAACGUACAAGACGGAUGCCGAGGCAAGAAACCCCGAAAACGCUAUUCCUGAAGGAAAUGUGCCUUCCACCUUUAGAUACCAGGAAAGGGUAGACGAAAGAAAGAAGGUAUCAGGGAGUGUGAAGACAUCGGUUGAAGCGCUUCGUUUACAGACGAAAUAAGUUGCAAGCAAGACUACGGGACUAAAGAAUAGAAUCCAUUUCUCUUUAUCACAUCACGGGGCUUGUCUAUCGAUCUUAGUCUUAGAUAAAUGGGUGGUAGCCACUACGUCAAGAGCAAAUCUCUAAUCUAUAGAGAUGUAGAAAGAGAAGAUUGCCUUUUCCUCGGUGAGUUGAAGGGACUCCUUCGUUGAAACCAGACCUCCACUUUUCUCUUUAGAAACAAGUAGCACUUUACAGAUAUAGAGUUUUCAGAUCUUAUUUGUAUUAAUGAGCUUACUAGUAUAUUAAUAGUGAUCUUGUAGGAGUGUGAGUUAUUAUAUUCCUUGUAUUCCUAUUAGGUUAUUAUAUUCCUUUGUAUUCCUAUUGCAGCUGAUUUGCGUAUACGAGGUUUAGUUUGAUUCUUUUCUUUUGCUCUGGACGAAGCAAUUCUAUAUGAUUUCCUUUUGCGCCAGUAAAACCCCAUGAUGAGCCUAGUUCACGCUCCACCAGAUGUGAGACUUGUCGACGAGUCUAGUAUACGCUUGGUUGCUCCUCUAAGAAGGGAGUUACGUUACCGCCUAUAACUGAUGCUAUAUAUCUAUCCAGAAAGAAGGAAUGCACCCAAACCUCUACACCUAUAAACUCUCUACUUCGAUUUAAGAACCGAAAUAAGGAAGUAUCACCUUAACCUGAACCUCAGGAAACUUAUACUUAAACAUUCGAAUCUAUUCUAUUCUAUUUGCUACAGCGGGACAAGAAAGACAUUCUCUAAGACAACACCUAACUCGACUAGAUUCUUUCCUUCAAAGCGAAAACAAGUACUAUCUUAUUACCGGAAUCCAACAAGUUGCGGAUCAGUGUAUUUACACUUUACCUAGUGCCUUCGAUACGAAAGAUUUCAUUAAAGAUUAGUUGACUCGGUCCGGUCCUCGGCGCAAGGCAAGACUCAGUGCGUUAGGAUCAGUGAGCAGCUCAAUUCCCAUUAUAUAUGAGGUGCACCAGAGAUGGAUUCAAUUCAAACUUGAGAGUUUCGGUCGGGCAAGACGAACAAAGUAACAGGGCGAGGGCAGUAAAGCAAGGGUUUUGAGGUCGUUAGUUUCAGUUUGAAAGUCAGGCAAUAGGGUUUGGGCUACUGCUGAAUAUAAGGGCCCUUGUAUACUCUUAUGAUUCUUCCUUAUCCGAAAAAGUAGUAGAGCAACUGAAGUAGCAAAGCAAGAAUCGGAAAUCACAAAUAUAGUAUAUGUUAGUACGUUGCCAUGAACAAGUCCUGUAUUCAUCUGUCCGGGCCGGGGUAGCCAAUGCCCCUUGGGUAGCAAGUAGUGGUCAAGUUUCAGAAGAGAUGACUGACUCUAAGGUCUAUAGGUAACCAACCCUAGGCAUUAUAUCAAUAGGUAACUCUAAGACUAGGAUUCCACUGGGGAUGAAACUAUAACAAUUAUAAAGAUAGAAUGAAUUCAUAUUGAUUUCUUAUACAUAGCAGUCCGGGUAGGGAACUAAGGUAUUCUUGCCAGCCAACACUCUCACCUCCCUCUCGCACAGGAAUGGAAUAGAAAACUCUCUGCCACCUGAUCGGUCUGUAACAAAGCAAGACUCCCUUACAUUACCCAUUAGGAAAGAGAUUCAUUCCUCUAACGGAAAUCGAUUCAUGAUGGCGACUCCCUACUCUGAUAAUUCCUACAGCUGUAGCGAGCUCCAACCAACUGCUUCUGUCGUUCUGUGCCGAACCACACGAGAUAGAGAAAGAAUGCAAAGGUAAGAUGUCACGUCACCACAUUAUUGACUGCUCGAUUAGUAACAUAUUCUAUAAUUUAUGAAAAACAGAGCCAAUACAGAAUGAAAUCCCCUCUUUCCUUUUCCUACUCGCUUGUGAUAAGGACAGAAAGGGGUCAAGUAAAAGUAUAAGGAAGCACUCAGAAAGUGGCAGUCCGCAGGAAGAACUUAUGGUACUUAGUUCAGGUUUAUUGACCUUUAUUUGUCUCCGUUAGCGUUUCACUUAACUAUUCCAUGAUUCUAUUCUGUCUUUCUAAGGGGUUAAAGGAUAAGUAUAGUUGGAAUCGAGAAAGUUCCGGGGAGUUCAUAAUUGCAUUGCAUAAAAGGAGGAUAAGUAGUGGCUGCGGCGCGUCGAGGCACUUCUUCGACGGUCCCCGUCCGCCCUAGGCCCGUAAGGCCGAUCUUUUAGGGCCCAUCUCUAUCUCCCUCUAUCCCAGAAAAGUACUCUAUACUAUAAGAAAGAAGGACAGCUCAGUUCUAUCUAUGAGGUAAAGAUACCUGAUGAAGGCAGAACAUCUAGCUAGAUAAUAGGUUUCCGGGCAGAGCAGCUCGAGGAGGGGCUUCUAUCUCUAUUGAUCGAGCUUAAGUAUAUAGGGGAAAUUGAUGUAUUCCGGGUAGGGUAAAAGGCAGUCAAGUGCUACCGCCGGCUAACCUAGGUAGUGAGCUAUUUAUAGGGAAGGAGUUAUCGAGCGGAUCGAGAACACGGUCUACCAGGGAUAACUCAUUAGCUCAAAAAGUCAUUAGCUAGAUAAGAUAGAAAUACCUUAUGGAGCGUAAGCAUUGGAUAUAAGCGACUCCUAGCAUACCUCAAAAGUGCAGUAGGAUUGUUCUGUGCAUACCUCAAAAGUGCAGUAGGAUUGUUCUGUACGUGGACCAGAUGUAUAAGAACUGGUAAGGCGAUCUCGUCUCCCGAACACCCAUGCUAAUACUGUGUAUGAUAUAGCCCAUUGAAAGCAACUCGGCCACGAUUUUGUCUAUCUAAUCCUGAAUUCGGCUUCCGGUAUGGAUCCGCUAUAAGUAAGAGCGGGAGGACCUUACAACAAUUCAAUGACAUGGUCCUUUGCCUGUUCGGUGGCAAUCCAUUAGGUAGUUUCACUGAAUCCAAAUUCCUAUUUGUGGACUAGCUUUAGUAUUGCUUCUGGUUUAUCCACCCUUCUCUCAGUACUAACAUCUAUGGCCAAUGCCUAUACAUCUUGUCUAAAAUUGUUACUCUGGUACCGCUUCUCGAUCGUGUGAGCAUAGAGAAUUGGAAUUGAAGUGGGUUGGUGGCCCCGUGAUAACCUUCGCAUCCCGAUAGAAAUAGGCUCUUAGCACCUUCAUUUGGAAGGUGACGUCACCCGCAUUCGGCACCCCUGCCCAUAUCACUACAAGAUUGACUCUUCUCAUCAGGAAGGCACGGGAUCGCCAUAUUGGAAAUUGUUGAAAAGCAAGCUGCUGCCCAAGGGGUCCAAAAGUACGCUAUUUGAAGGGUUAAGGCAAUCCUUAUCCCCCAGUAUUUCCUCCCAGGUCGGUGGUGUGGGACUAGUGCAAUCAUUCCCUUCGUUACAGCUCCUUAUUCUUCUUCAUCACCAGGAGUUGAUUCAAUUGCUAAGAAGCCAUUUCCUCAAAGAGCAGGAGUUGAUUCAAUUGCUAAGAAGCCAUUUCCUCAAAGAGUUUCUUCUUUAAGAACAACCAUGGCAUUCGAUGCUUAUUAUAGGGAUGCUUAUUAUAGGAUUCUAAUAUGGAUAACUCACUAUCAACAGGAAAGGGGCAUAUUGUUGGACUAAAGGUGGCAUACUAUUCUAUACGAUGAAUGUGCUGCUAGGAUAUACUUCUGCACUUGAGAACUUAAGCUAGCUGACUGGUACUUGCUUUCCACCCUUGGACUGCUAUCCUUGGCAUGCGUGCUACUGGCCUGGCCCGCCUACGGAACUCCUACUGUCCAGCAACCAAGCAUUCUCUCUAACAAAGUGAGACUGCCUCUUACGAGUGGGUAACCCACCUUCUAAACCAUGCCCCACUAGACUUUAGCCCACUUUGCACUCUGAGUUUUCGUAUCAUCUCAUUGGACUUAUUUCAAACUAACUCGUUACACUCGCACCUGAUUACACGGGAACGAAGAAAACGACACGGGGAGCACGCUUUCACCUGCAAGAACAGAGGGCCCAGACCAACCAAAGACAGAUGGAAUCACAAUACCCAGAAAAAUGAAGUAAGGUAACGAGCCACAGUUGCGACUAAACGAUUGGAAACAUAGCCAGGCAAACAUCAACUAUGAACCCGCAUCGAAGAAUCAACACUCUAUUCAAAUCCAAAAAACAGAAAUCCAAAAUAUCCGAUAUACUCCUGACGCAAGAAAUCCAAAAUAUCCGAUAUACUCCUGACGCACGCGCAAGACGCCAACAAUCAGCUGAAGCAUCAACAAUGUCCCCAUCCAACGAAAAGAAAAUAGAACAUCAAAGAAUAUACUUAAACCCAGAGAGGUCUGCAAGUGGACCAUAUGACCAGUAGGAUUCAUACAUACCAUCAAAAUGCAGAUUAAUGAAUAAGAUAUAUGCAGAUUUCUAGUAUCAAAUGCCCUUGAUUCGCGAGAACCAAUCCGAGAUUUCAAACGCUUUGCUUUCUUUGAUUCUGCAUUCUUGAUUCUAUCUUUUUACGGUGAAUCAAGGCUGACUACUGGAAGAGUGGAUUGAGCCAAUAGAACUUUCUACCGGAAGAGUGGAUUGAGCCAAUAGAACUUUCUACUGCAACUCAAACUAUAGCCGUUGCCACCUUAUGAGAGCCCCUUCACUGAAAGGGAGGUAACCUUCGCAACACUCGCCAUUGGGCAACCUCCGGGCGGGUAUCGGCUUGUUCCAUUCUGAUGUUCUUUUUGUUAUCUAUGAUAUAUCGUGAUCAAAGCAUAAAAUCUCUACUAAUCCAAAAAUAGAAGAAAAAGGAAGACAAACGAGGAGCAUAUUCAAAACUGACAACCGGUAGCUAGCUUCUCUUAUAGCUCUUCCUUUAGCAGCCAGACAGAUGUUACCUUCAGAGUGCGUUAGUUCAGAUAAGGCAAGGUUAGCGCUGCUGUUGGUUGGGGUGCAAACUCGUAGCUUACGUUGGUUGUCUAAAUCCGCCUCUUCUUCUUCUGUCUUUCGCAACGCCCCUUCCUCUUGUUCUCUGGAUGCUUUCCCCGACGCUAUAGGGGUCUUUCUUUGCUACUCGCUUUCGAAGGAUCUUCCUUAACAUUUCUCAUUCUGGCCAUAGACUUAUUCUUUGGGGCUGGGUUAUUGUUUCAUCCCUUGUAGGUAGUCGGAUAGUAGUAGCUUAUCUCAAUGGAUAGUCCAGCGUCUUAUCUAGACCGCAGGCAGCCUUAGCUAGAUCCACUGUAACAUUGGGUGCAAGUCCUGCCUUGAACGAAGAGGAACAGAGACUCCUUUGGAUGGGGGACGUUCGGAUCUUGGCCUUUCCUAUCUGCUAACAACCUCCUUUCUAGGUUUGAAACCACUCGUUGUGCGGCUCUAGGCAUCCUGAGCUGACAGCACUUCGAAAGGCCUCGCUUAAUUAAUGGGCUUCUCAUCGUACUUACUUCUUUGUUAUGUUAAGGUGAUUGUUAUUUGUUGGAUGGGUAUGGCUUAUUCUUAGAGGAUAACUUAAUGCAUUUGUCAUGAGUAGCACGCGCCCGCCCUAUACUAAGAUUAGGUACGCAAGACAGACAUCGUCAGCCUAGCCCUGAUGCAUUGGUUUUCUCAAGCUGUCUCAUUCAUUCCAUUUAUUCAGCUGCUUUUAUCUCAUUCGUGGCUUGGUUUUUGUGGACAGGAAGGGAAAGUGCCAGCUGACAUCCGGAGCUCUACAACUACCUGUGUUGCCUUUUCAGUAUGGUUCUGGAUACUAGCAUUCUGUUGAGCGAGAUUGUGAUUGUCUUCCCUAAAGUCACUCCCCUUAGAGUCGAAUGGUCUCGAAAUAGGCUUCAAGAAUAAGCUCCAUUUAGUAGGUAUAUUAUCCAUGGAUAGAUCUUACUGGUAAGCUCAGUCAUUGGCUUUCACUGGGCGUUUGUUAUAUGCCAACGGAUGUCGCCAACAACCCGGGCUUUGCCCACUUUCGUAAGGCUUAUUACCUUUGUUACUUUCAUCGGUACAUAUAAUAAAUAGAAUAUAGUCUCUUUGGGCUAUGCAUUCUGUAGGGUAUUGGCGUUGUGGUACACUAGUCCUGUCGUACGCCUAAUUCGUUUAGUGGGGAGACCUAUAGAGUAAGGUAAGGCGCGGUCAGCCAGCUCUUCCGGUUGCAAAGCCUGUAGAGUGUCCCUGAACGGAAGGAAGGAAAGAGACAGAGAACUCUAUCCUAGCUACCUGGGUACGGGGUGGAGUAAGACUAUUCUCAUAAUAAGCCCGGCCAAGCUACUGAAACUAUGACUGCUGAUUCUGUUGAUGACUUUGGCACUGAUCUAGCUCCUUCUUCUUUACCUACUCUGGAUAUAUCUUAUGCUUCUUCUUGAUACAAUAACAGUACUAGCACAGCAUCUGAUCUCGUCGACAAGGAGGCGGGACAAUCUGUAUACCUUGAAUAUGGUGCUCAACUCGAGAAAAGGUGCAUUAAGGUAAAGGAAGCAGCCAACCCGGAUUUCACUGUCAACUCUCAACUCCUUACACGCAGAAUGGAAUUGGACUUUUGAACUAGGAAUGUGAUCAAGCAGCUCAUUGACGAUUAGCACAACGUCUUGCCCGAACUACACUACUUUGAACUAGAGCGAGACAAGAAGAAUAGGCCGAAUCACUACAAGCUAGGGAAAGCCUUAUUUGGAUUAUUAUUCGAAAGCGGAAGCGCCAUUAUCGGUAAAGCAAGCUGUAAACCUUUAUUUCUCUAAGUAAGACCUCUGCACGCGGGCUGUAAACCAUGAACCCUUACUUGACUUUAGCCCGAGAUACUUUGAUUCUUCUGUAGCUUAGAUCCUGUUUCUUAUCCUACUGCUCGAACUUUGUCUUUUGUUACUGCUGAUUCUGGAACCGCAGCUGCUUCAAAUCCAGAUCCUGCUCCACCAGAUUGAGAGGCGGGCUCAACUAAUACAACAUUUUCUCUGGAGAGUGCAUGUAUAUAAAAGAGUCAUAUUACCCACCUAUAUCUAUACUCAACGAACGAUACCACAUUCCUUCCCUUCUGCUAAAACAUCUUCUGCCCCUUCCUAUCUCCUUUACCGUAGAAGUAGCUUGUCCGUUGUUGGUUCAGAAAGCAAUGUAAGCAAUAAUAAGUAGAAGCUCUUUGUAAGUAAUGAGUUGGGGGAUGCCAGAAUUCCCAUCUUAAUGCAGCGGGCAAAUCGACAAGCGAAUAAGAAAGAAAGUCAAGGGCUUACAGUAGCUGAGUUCCAGAAGCCGAAUCUAAUGCUUACUUACAGAGCAGUAAAGUCUCCACUCCUGGCAAAAUACGGACUUGCUCAUAACUCUAGAACAGUUUCAUCUCCAGUUUCGUCAACAAGUAUAGUGGAAACUUACCUUCCCGCCCCGUACGCCACUGUUAUUUGACCUGUUCCGAGAGACUUUCCAGUGCGAGGAGUGUGUCUAGAUCGGACCCGCACAUGCAUGGUUGGUGAAGAGCACAGCACUCGGUUAGUUAGUUAGUUAAGUUACCUGCGGAAAUUAUACCUAGCGCAUGAUUCAUACCUAGCUCAGGCUUCUGUUUCUUACCUUGGAUCAAUAGUAAUAGGUGGAUCUGCUUUAACAGCUUGGAUCUGGAUCUGUAGAAUCUGUCUUUGUUGGCGACUCUCUAAUUUCAUUAUGACUUUCCUACUUGAGAGCACGAGCACUCCUUCCUUUAAGAAUAGAGUUUACUGGUAAAGAAAUAAAGUCAAGCAAGUAAGAAUCUAAGAAUGCUGUUUCAGAGUUCAAGUGUGUUUUCACCUCCUGGUAGUAAAGAUGAACUCCAGGUAUGCCUGCUUGGCUUGGCCCCUACGAAAAGAUGUCAUUUACAAGUCCUGUGCACCUGCAUUUGAUUCCCGAGUUCACCUGUUUUAGAGUUCAAGAAGAAUAAGAAGAUUGAUAUGAAGCAAUAGUAGGGCCUAGCAUCCACUAGGAAUCCUAUCUCCUAUAUAAAGAUAAGAUAAAGAAUUCAUUUAAUGUAAUUGCAGAAUGAAGAGCAACCAAGCAACAGUAGCAAGAAGUAGAGGAAUGAAACCAUCCAGUAAGAAUGAAAGUGAGCCAGAUAAUCCUCAUUUGGGUUUACUUGUAUAGAAGGGCGCCUCUUCGGUGCAGAAUAACUGGUUCGAGUGUUGAAUCGAGAUCGGAAGCGGUCUUUAGAAGGAUAAGAAGCCCUUAAUUAGGAUUCCGGGCCAAGCUUAGUAGUUAGUUGUGCUAAGGAGCCCCACUGUUCUUUAAGUAAUAGGACCAUAAUAAAUAACUUGCUAGCGCAUCUAGUAGAAGACUCAGAAAUGAACUCACUCGUCUUAUAGCUCGGCAGUUCUCUAGUCUAGGCGCCAUAAACUGACUAUAAGGGCCUCGCCACUGAUUUCAUUGGGUGCGAAGGAAGGCUAGACAGUUCCAUUUCUAUUUAUUUCUCAUAGCAAGCUUAGGCCAAUAGGCAAGCAACCACUAAGUAGUACUCUCAAUCUGGUGUUAAAGCCUUUCAUCCGAGUCUCCCAGAGAAGUAUCCGGGUGCAUAGUUGACUUUCCAAUUCAUUAAGGUCACUGCCGCGUAACCAGUAAUUAAGGGCACCGAAUACAAGUGAGAAGUUCGGUAGUUAUAUAUAAUUAAGAAAAGUGAGAAGUUUGGGAUCUAUAUCAAUAGCUACAGGGUGAGAGCAAAGGUAGUGAAAGAAUCACAAAGGCAAGAUACGGUCUUCAAACCAAUAAGUAAGGCCCCGGAUCAGUGUUUAGAGAAUAAGAGGCGAAUCGGAGACAGGAGAGAUCGUUUUCAAAUAAGUAUACGCUUGGUGGCAUACGAGAAUGGACUUACCCCCUAUUGGAUCGAACUACCAAUUCGGUAUAAGAGAAUUGCACCGAUGCUAACAAGGCUUUCACUUAUAAGGUAUUGCAUAUUUCCCCCAAGUAACCAGAAUCAACCCAAAACAGAUGAGACUUUCUCUAAGAAAUAAGGCUUUCACUCCUUCAGCGCCAACCCUCCCCGAGUUCUUUCUUUCUUUGCCAACCAAAACUAUAUCCUUUGAUUUCUUUGCCCAACAACCUAGUAUGCGCUCCCCCUCUCGCAAACCCAUAUAGUAGUGCUAGUGUUGUGUCUCUCAGUGUAUAAGAAUUGAAGACAGAAGUCAGAAUGAAACGAAAAAGUAGAAAACUACGAAUUCCGCUACAAAGUAAGUAUGCAUCGGUACCCUCUCUAGCUUUUCAUCUAAAGUCAGAAAAAAAGACCCACCAGCAAUAUAUCCUGGCUAUCGGCCUUACCUUCCUUUAUCUCUUUCUGGAGCUACUGAGUGAGUUGACUUAUUUAUUCUUCUUGCGUAUUCCGUUAACUUAGUUUAAUACAAUAAUUCAUUAACUUAUAUUAGCUAUUAGCAUGUGUUUUAUUGUUUUCAUAUGAUAUAUACAUGUGUUUUCUUGUUUUAGUGCAAGGAACCAGCAAUCGAUUCUUCAAGAUAUAAGCCAUGCGAAAGGCUGCAGAGCUUUACUCUUCCUUAAGAGUCUGAAGUGGGCUGGGUGUUUACUCAAUGUUAUAAGCGGGAAAGAAAGAAACCCAUAUUUCGUAAAGUUGAAGCUCUGUUAACGACUCUUAUGGUUACCUACACCGAGCGCUUAACUCCUUGUUCUCUGGUUGCGAUAUUCGAUUUGAAGUAAAGAUCCGGAUCUUGGAAAGUCAUCCGAUCCCCCUUUCCUUAUAAACUAAAGAAGAAAACCGGAACUACUAUAUCUUAUCUACGGAAGAGAGAAAACCAGCUUCCAAUUGAAUUCUAAUAGGAUUUCACAAGGGAUAUGGAAAGUAUAUACCUAGUGUUCGCCUCCUCUGGCUAAUUCUUCUGUUUCUUCCGAUCCGAUCCUUUACUUCUUGAUCCGAUCCUGUACUUCUUUACUUAUAGCUUAGCAACCUCUCCUCAAGCUACUACUACUGGGCUGGGCUCGCUGACCAAAGAAUGCAACUAUCAACUCUAAACUCAACUUUCCACUAAACCUCUAUCCUCUACCUAAGUCAACUAAUUCUUCUUUCUGAACUUUAAGUAGAGCUCGGGGCGGAGGAAGAGACAAGAAACUAUGCCAUGUUUUAUAGGCUUUCAAUGCAUUCUUUCUCAUCGCAACCCAAGAUGUUUUUCAUUGGAUUUCCCAUAAUACUAAAUAAGUGCUGUGAUAGUGCAUUUCUUCUUAAUCAAAUAGACCCUUCUUUGCCCUUUAAUCAUGUCAUACGCCUAAGAGAGCUUCUAAUUCAUUUAAAGCCUAGUUGAGCUCCCCCAAACAGGACUUAGUAAUGACUUGUAAUAUCUUAGUUUUGACUCAAUGAAAUAUUUUGGAUAGCUAUAUUCUCUUUUGAAAGCAACGGAACAAAUAAACAAUGCCGCAAGAAACCCAUGACCAUAAAACGACUUAUAACUGUGGUCCACAGAAUGGUGUCCACUUGGUUCUGUUGUACUUACAAUAGUUUUUGAGUUAGAGUUAGGUUACCACGGAGUGGGUCAGUUCUUAUUUGGAUUCUUACAUGAUUUAUAUGAUUACACUAGAGAACAGUUCCACUAUUCCGAGCCUACUUACUAUGUCAAAGAGCACUACUAGGCUAGAUCCACCUUCUUUCUAUACUGAACGACGCUUCCAUUGGAGAUGAACUACAGCACCGAUAACGCUUAUUGAACAAGCAAGCGCACCUUACCGGACUCUUUUCUUCAAAAAGCAGGGAGUUAGUUUAUUACCGGACUCUUUUCUGAAAGCAACAUAAAAUGCAGUUAGGUAUCAACGGCGCAAGUCCUGUUUACUGCGUUAGUGAGCUGGUUGAUGCUAGUUAGCGAGUUGAUCAAAGUGCUAUAGGAGUUCUACUGGGGUCUCAAGUUAGGUAGAAAGUCAAGUGGAGUAGCCUGUUGCUCAAGAAAAGAAGUCGAAAGUCGAAGAUAUUGUUAUUGCGCUUGAAGGAAAGUAGAAAGUAGCAAGUAACGUUGAAAGAAAGGAGUUGAGCUCGCCAAAGCCUAAGUGCCUUAGUGCAUUAGUCAAUUCAAGCUUUCACCGACGCUUAGUUCUUAAAGGAAAUAAUGCUCUUUAUUAGUUUUUCAUUACUUAUAUAUGGUGGGCGAUAUUCUCUUCUUAUAGCCAUGAUAGCGAAAUUCUUUUCAACAAGCAGUUUUGUGCGCGUUAGCCCACUUUCAGAGGAGCUCCGUUAGCGACUAUCGUUUGUUUGGAGUUAUCGACUAUAGAGCCUUUGUGAGCUUUGGAAGAAAGGAGGCAAUGCUGCUGUUUGUUUAGAUUAGAGUGACAGUGCCUCUUUCUAGUGUUGGAUGAUGAAGCUUACUAGAAAUAUGAUUGGAUUUAAGCAACAGGUAGAUCGCCCUUUAAGCAACAGGUAGAUAAAAAGCUCUUGUGCGUGCGGAAACGAGUUGAGUUUCGAAAGCUCUUGUCUUGCGCACCGGGCGUUGAACCGCUCGUGAGCAACAGUAGGACUCGACUGACUUGCGUCUAGGAAAGGAUGGAGGGUUGGUGCUCUAGCUCUAGGUCGGGCAUAUUUAUGAAGUG
RNAcentral lists this long non-coding RNA (58958 nucleotides) under Musa acuminata (dwarf banana). RNAcentral describes it as "long non-coding RNA (MACU_LNC007754)". The stretch from base 44815 to 44887 matches the Rfam family "tRNA". The record is from RNAcentral. Lineage: Eukaryota; Viridiplantae; Streptophyta; Magnoliopsida; Zingiberales; Musaceae.